This 49515-nucleotide long non-coding RNA is filed under the name Zea mays. RNAcentral's name for it is "long non-coding RNA (ZMAY_LNC001774)". The record is from RNAcentral. Lineage: Eukaryota; Viridiplantae; Streptophyta; Magnoliopsida; Poales; Poaceae.
GAUCGCCUGUGCAUGUGCUAGCUCCUAGGCAACAACAACAAUAAUAUAUAUACCGCCACCUUAUAAUUAACUCUCCACGCAUCAGAGAAGCUUCACACAUGCACCAAACUUGUGCAUCCAUGGAUAUCCAAGAAGAAGAUGUAGUUAGUGCAAGCGUUCCGGUUAUUUCGUUUUCCUUUUACUCCUCUUCAUUCCUUCUACCUUCACCAAGAACUGAUUGUUGACUGACAGCACCUACAAGAGUUUAUGUAAAUUUUAUUUAAAUCCGAUAAUUAUAAUCCUAAACUUGAUCAUGUUAAAGCGACUCCAUGUGUUUCUGCAAAAUUUAGAUCUGAAUUAUUAACCCUAGUUUUAGAGACUAUCAAGAUAUAAUAGCUCUCCACAAAUAUAGGAACAAUUAUUCCACGAGCGAUCUUUUUAUUAUUCUACAAGGAAAACCUGCUUCACUGAGGCAUAUCGGGCCAAUAGACUGAAAGACGCACAACUAGUGAUUUUUUAACACAAGUAAAACCAUUGAUUUAGGCAUGUUUGUUUCUUCCCAAAAUUAUAUAAUACAGCUUAUCGAUUAUAUAAGCACUUAUUAACUUGCUUAUAGAUUAUCAUAAUCUAGAUAUCUAGAUUACAUAAUUUAUUUAAUAAUUUGUAUUGUUUACCUCACAACUUAAUUAAGCUAGAUUAUAUAAUCUAGAGGAGAAACAAACAAGACCUUAAAUUACUAGCUAUGAGCAUGUUUACAUGCACCGAGUUUUUUUAAUUUGGUUUAUAGAAACUAGGGUGUUUUUCCAAGUCUAUGUUUGGUUAUACAUGACUAAACUUUAUUCUCUCUCUUUUAGUUCCUUUUCAGGGACUACCAAAUACAGAAACUAAAUGAAGAACUAAACUAUUUUAGUCUCUAGCCCCUUGAGAGCUGACUAAAAGGGGCUAAAAGCAUAUUCUGGACAACAUUUACCCCUCAUUAAUACUUAAAUUACUUGCAGCAAGAGAUAUUUUGGUCAUUUUUCAUCUAUUUUAAUGGUCUUUAGUCCCCUUUAGUUUUUCUAGUGAAAGGAUCACGAUGUCCGAGAGGAGAGUGAACUAGGCUUUUCUAAAAUUCUUACAGAAGAUUAAACCCUAAACAAAGAGCCCAACUUCACUCAAUCUACUAGCAAGAAGUAAAAGUUAUAAAAUGAAGAACAACCCUAAGUCAUUAUGGCAAAUACUAGCAAAGUAAAUACAGAAAGUAAAAUGCUCAAAGUAAAUGCGAAAAAUAAAGUAGGGACAAGAAGACUCCUCUAAUUUUUUCUCGAGGUAUCGAAGAGUCAGCACUCUCCACUAGUCCUCAUUGGAGCACCCGCGCAAGGUUAUCAUUCCCCCUUGGUCCUCGUCGCAAGAACCAAGUGUUCACUAUGAGAUGAUCCUUUGCCUCCCCCGCACGGUGGAUCCCUCACGACCACAUACAACCAUCAAGUCGGGUCACCAACAAAUCCUCCAAGGUGAUCACCGAGCUCCAAUCGUCACCGAGUCGUCUAGGUGAUGCCGAUCACCAAGAGUAAUAAGUUAUAGACUUUCACUUGACCAAGAAAAGUCUAAUGCAUGUGGUGUGUGCUCUAGGUGGCUCUCAUGCGCACUAGUGAGGUCCUAACAUGGGGUUAUGAUUUUGCUAAUCACCUCACUAGGCUUUAUGGACUUGCAAUGCUCUAGCAAUAAAUUCUAGGUGGUUGGGAGCAACAAGACAUUCAAUAUGGCUGGUGGACGGGGUAUAAAUUCUCCACCCACCAAAAAAUAGUUGUUGCAAAAUCUCCUGAGCAUGGGCGCACCAGACAGUCCGGUGCGCCACCUGUGCACCAACGAUGCACUCCCAACGGCUAGUUUUGAUAACUAGCCGUUGCUCAGAGUCACACCGGACACAACACAGUAGUUGUCCAGUGUACACCGGACAGUCCCCUGCUAGGCUAAAAAUCAGUUGUCUCGAACUAUUCGCUCUCGGGUUUCUGUCCCUCUCAGGGUUUGCUCUCGGGCGUUCUCGGGCUCGCUGCCCAGGGAACCACCGGACAGUGCGUUGCCCCUAGGACAACAACAUUUCUUUCUUAUCUAGAGUUAUUCUAAACCGAUUUUGAUUCUAACUCAUGAGUGAAUUCUAGAAUGAUACCUAGCAUAGUUGUGAGUGUGAACAUGCACCGACAUUACACUAGUUAUCUCUUGGUCAAACUACUCAUCCACAACCCCUCUAUAUAGUAUGGGUAAAAUAAAAAUAGAAGUCCUAACUCUAUACCAAGUGUCCCACAACUCCUUUGACACUUAGGAUAUGAAUACCUUCAUCUUUUGAUCCGCCCUUUUCUGAGGGAUUGUUUUCACGGUUGUAGCACAACUUCCUACAUUGUGACCUAACUUACCAUUUGCUCUGCAAAACACAUGUUAGUCAUAAGUAAUCUUACGUUGUCAUUAAUCACUAAAACCAACUAGGGGCCUAGAUUCUUUUAAUCUCCCCCUUUUUGGUGAUUGAUGACAACCCUACAAGAGUGUGAGAGUAUUUUGUUUGAUUUCUGUCAACAUUAGAAGAUUGUUAGUGAUAUUCAACAAGUUGAAAGAGGAUAGUCAUGUAUAGAAUAUAGGAAGUAUAAGUGCAUACAUAACAUAAAAUCUUGUUUAGAUAAUGCGAGUGAAAUCCAUGAACAAGAGUUGCAUGACUGGUGAAGAAAGAAAGUGAAAACAUAUAAACACACACAAUCAUCAAAAGAUCAUGCGAGCAUAUCAUUGAGUUUGUGAGGCAUACAAAAGUCAUACAAAAACGGAGAGUCACAUCAGAGAGUACCAUGCAUAUAUUACAACAAAAGACAAUGAAUUUCUCAACUAACUCCCCCUAGCUCUCACAACUCUCUCAUCUCCCCCUUUAGCGGGAAGCACCAAAAGGGUUGCCCUAACCUAAAGACCAGAAGGAGGAGGAGGAGGGGCAAGCGCAUCAGGUCGAGGGUGAGCAGUAAGAGCAAAGACAUAAAGGGUAUUAGAGUCAGUCUCAGAUCCAGGAUCUGAUGUAGAAGUUGCAGCUGGUGAUGACUCUGACGCUGACUGUGAUGCCUGAGCUGUUGGCACUAAAGCUAGCACUAAAAUGGUCACUGCGGGGGUAGCAACCGUAGAAACUGGUGGCUGAGUCAGAGAGGUGAGAACGACGGACAAAGGUAUGAAACUGGGGUCCUGACUGAAUGCCUGGUACCACUGAAGUCUAAAGAGGUGAUGGUGGAGCUGACUGCACUGGAGGCACGGGAACACUAGUGUGAUGAAGAAUAUGAGUCAUGAACGCCCUUUGCUCCGCCCUAUCUGGCAAGAGCUACUAGUGGAGAGUGUCUUGGCGGUCCUGAAUAGUCUGAAAUAUCGAAAGCAUCCGCUCAGACAGUUGUUGCUUGAUGGCUGCCUGACGAGCCUACUCAACUACCAAGGGAGCCUGUUGUUGGGUCAAAUACUGAAGUAUAGCUGUCAGGGCUAGAUCAAUAGCUGGAGGUGCAGAGGGAGGAACGGCACUAGAACCACAGGCCUCGUGAUCGUGUGAGCGAGGUGGCACAAGAGGUGGUGGUGGUUGAAUCUCUAGAUCCUGAUCAUCUAAAUAUGAAGAGGUGUCAGCAACCAUACCCUGAUCCUCAAGCUGAUGGAUCGUCUCGUCCUCAACCUAAUGCUCGGGGGCCAAAGGAUCCAUAGGAGUAGAACUGGAGAGUGUUGCGAGCCGCCUCAUCAGCUCAUAGAGGACCUUCGCUACAGUGGUGAAAUCUGCAGGAGAGUGUCGCGAGCCGCUAGUGAAAGGUGGCCUGAAGAGCGCUGAGACAUGAGUUGUGCCAGGAGCAACUCCGCCAUGAGGGCAACAAGGAGGGUCUUAGGUACUGUAGCAGAGACGGUGAAGCCUUGUCGUCGACUCAGGGAAACCAAAGAGUUCUCUGAUCUGAGCAGUGUGAAUCGUGACAUCCUCGCGCUCGAAGCGAAACCUCAUCCACUGAUGGUCGGGGUCAAUCCAGACGGUAGCAUAGAAAACUCUAACCCACUCCUCAAUGUAGCGACCACCAAAAGUCAGCAGAGAGUACAAGCCUGAUAGAUAUGUGAUGUGGCCCUCAACCUCAGAACUGGCUACUGAACGAAAAGCUGUCAAAUCGAGAGGAGAGACAAAUUUGUUGAUAUCAACGUUGUACUAAACAUUUUUGGAACUUAAAAAGUCAUAUUUGAUAAAUCAAGCAUCUAAAUUAAAUUUUAAUUACACUACUAUGUUUAUUACAAUAUGUCGGUGACACGGAACCUAGAUACCUCAUCACCUCCAUAACCACAUAAUAUACUCCUGAAUGGCUGAAUACAACAAGCAUGCAACCCACUAUAACAUGGAGCGUCACCAAAUGUGGUAGACAAGAAAAUGACAUGAAAGAUUUGGAUGUUGCCUUCUACGAAGAUAUGAUAGAAUAUUUAUUGUACUUUUCAUGUAACUGAUUAGGAAGCAUAUCGGUAACCAAUCAGGAUCAUGUAACCCUAUUUUCAAGACUAUAUAAGCAGGUAUAUUGGUCCCAUCAUAAACACGUGACACUACUCGAGUAUACAAGCAAAAAGAUGUAGUGUAAACUGGACAUAGGGUACCAUGUAUUUGAACUAGUAUAAACUCUGUGACUUAUGUUCUACUCUUUAGAUUUCUUGUACAUGAUAUGCUAAUCCAUAUUACUAGAGUAAAUAUUUUGAUAGUUAGCACACCAGGUAUAAGCCUUUUGCGCACAAAUUAUUAUGUUUUGGAUGUGGCUUAUCAUCAACUUGACGACACUGAGAAGAUGCAGAUGGGCUACAAGUAUUCAAAGCAUUAUGUUUGCACUCGCUCUGUCUUGCCUUAUAAAUGGGGGUUUUGGUAGAAAUGAGUCAAAUCUAGGAAUGACCCCCCUAGGAGACCAUUAAGAAUUCUUGUGAAUUCAAGAGACUAAGCAUUGCAUGCUUACAUAUAAGAGGUCUAAAAACAUGGAGAUUGACAAAUCAUACAAUAAUUUGCAGAAUAUGUUGAUACUAAGAUAUUGACAUUAAGUUUUCUUUUAUCAUACUUGCAAGGAGAGUAUUUUACUUUAAAAACUCGUGAUGAACAAUUCCUAGUUUAAAGUGGUGAACAACUUAUCCAUACUACUACACUUCAUUCAUUGAUUUUCCUAUGUGAGUAACAAAAAGUCAAGUAUAUUUGCCAAACACAUUGACAUAAAGUACCAGGUUCUGAAAGAUAGAACACAAAAUUAGAUAAUUAGUUUUAUACAUUAAGUUAAUAUCGAUCCUCUAAGACUUACCAUCAAAUAUAUUAGAUGAUUAUGUUGCUUACAUGAAUCUAUGGAAAGCAUUUGAUUCUGGCUAUGAGAGACAUUAAACAACCAACUCCCAUUUUAUUUAUGUGAUAUCCUAUCAAGGUGGAUUUUCAUGCUAUAGGUAUUAUUGUUACAAUGGUGUUUUGUUGACUGUUAUAACCCAUUGUCUCCAUGUGCUAUUUCUACUAAAUAUGGACUUAUGAUGUUAGCCUUUCGAUCAAAGGGAGAAUACUAAAAAAGUGAUAUCAGACCCAUGAACGAUUAUGUGCUAACGUCCUAAUCAUGUAUGGUCGAGGCAACCUAAGGAAAAACCAUUUCCCCAUAUGUGCCAUAAUUAGGGGCACCCUAACAUUACAAGGUUGUGCCCCACAUUAUGCAAUGCCUUCAAGAGGGACGACUCCCAUUCUGAGGAGAACAAGUUAGGCAUAAUAGCCAAUACCCAUCCUCUCUUAAGAUCCAAUUACUAAGUGUGUGGAAGUGACGCAAAGGCCAUUAUUGUUUCUGCUUCCCCAUCGACUUUAUUGUAGAGAAGAAAGGCAUUUCCUCGACAACCUCUACUGAUGGCUGACUAUUGUGAUGAUUGUGGUUAGUUAUCAAUCCACUAAUGUGUUUGUGCAACUAUAUUAGAGAUCAUAUAACUUAUCUCUUUAUUUUCAUCUUGUACUCCAAUCCAUGUUCACGACAGUUUCCCUUCAACUUAAGCCCUUGCCCCAUAAACGAUGUUAAGUGGGGAAGAAUCAAUGUCAUCGGGGUCAACCAAUGAAGGUAGCCUUAUUACAAUGUGCUUGGUACUAAUAUUGAUUGUACUCAAUGGACAAUCUUAAAAUAAAAAAAAGUGAUUAUUAUUGCCUUCUCAAACAACAAGAACAAUAAUUGCAUGGUGUAUUUUCACUGAUAAGCUACAAAAGACUACAUCUCCAAUGAACUGAAUAUGACAAGGUCAUGGAUCUAGACAAUGAUGCAUCUCUCUCUCUCUCUUGAACAAAAGAAGUACAUAACAAUGACUGAAAAAAGGUCUUCAAAAGAUUAAUUAGAAUGACACUUGGACAAUAUAAAUAAAGAAUACAUUAUUCCUCUAAAGACCAGAGCUUCUCCAUGUAGAUUACUAUUUUUUAUGGCUUAGCUUGUUCAUGUAUAUUGGAGAUUUUUUUAGAAAAUUACAUAACACCAUGUCUGCUAACACAACAUGAUAUAUUUGAUUACUAACAAAAACUAGACUAAAUAUAAGAUAGGUUAUUCCCUAAGCAGGAGAGUGCUCUAAGUUGUAAGGCCUUGCCCUUCUUUCUAUAAAGACUAGAGCUUCUUCAAAUCGAACUUGAGCUCCUUACCAUCAAAGAUGUAAUUGUCAUAAAAAGGCAACUAUACGCUAUUUAAGCAAGGUGAAUAUUUGUUGUGGUGCUUUAAAAAUAUUCAGUAUAUUGUUUAAAUCAAGUGUCUUGUAGUAGAACCAAAUUUCCAAUGUAGUAUAUGCCACCUAACUAAAUCAAGAACAAAACACCAUAGGUUUCAUGUCUCUACGAUACCAGGACAAAAUAGAGAGGAUCAAUACUAGGUAUCAGUUAUUGAAAGUGUGUGUAUGUAGGAACUUUAUGUCCACUUCUCUAACACCCUGAAUUUUAGGGUAUAAAAAUUUCUUUUCUUUAUACUCAAAAUUCAGGUGAUAUUAUCUUUUUUUCUUUUCUUUUCCCUUUACUAAAAUAAUGAAUAAUUAUUUUUUUAUAUAUUGGCAUAAGCCUAGUGAAGUGAGCCAUAGAGGUGCUUUGGUUGUUGCAUCCAUGUUGUUGCAUAGUGUUUCUAAGUUCAAAAAGUGUUUGAAACAUGUUAAUGUACCUUGUAGAAGUUUCCGGUAAAUUUUCAUAUUUUUUGGAAUAUUUUUCUAUUUUCCGAGAACCAAAAUCUAUUUAUCUGAGGUACUUAAAAACAUUUUCAAAAGCUCUAAGUAUGUGUUUUAGUUCAUUGGGUACCAAAUCAUGUUUAGGAAUUUUCCUAGAAUGUUUGGAGCCUUCGGGAUAUUUUUGAGACGUUAAAUACAAUUUCAGCCUUUUCUGAAAUUAUUUUAACUUUAAAAAUUGAUUUAUUAUGAAAAAUAAAAUAUAUUAAAACCUUAGCAAUAUAUAUAUAUGCCUGGAACCCUCUCGUCGCGCCCUUUCCAAAUCUCAAAAUCAUUUUCCAUAUUCGAUACACAAUUCCUGAAAUUGUUCGCCGAAGUUCGGGACGUUCCCAACUCCGGCGAGCAAUUACUUUCAAUCAAUGCAUCGUUAGCAAAAUCCGAGACUACCGCUGCAUUCGUCUCAUCGAGGGCUUUGUCCUGAUACUUUCGAUUCAUCGAUCAGACCUCUCGUUCGCUGUCAAUCGAUGGAUUUCUCCUCGGCUCCGGCGAGGUCCUUCUUCUCCGGUAAGCAAACUCUAUUUUUUUCUUCCCGUUCUUCAUUUUCUUCACCGUGAAAUCGUAGCCCCCCUCUCUCUCCCGCGCAGCGGUGGUCGGCGGGGCCACGCCCUGGUGCCCUCCCCCCUCUCCCGCGCGGCCGAGCUCCUCCAUCCCCCUUGCCCAUGGCGGGGGUAGGAGAGGAAGAAGAAAGGACUUUUUACAAAACAGACCAUGGAAUUUUGUGUAACUGCACGCAAAAAAAUUGAUUAAUUUAAAUAUUUGAUAUCUUUUGCGUUAUAAAUCCGAUGUGUUCCGUUUAAAUCGCGUUAGAUUCGUAUUAAAGUUUUCUACAUGUUAAAAAUAUUAUUCCAUGAUGUCACAUGUUUUAAAUAAUUUGUUAAAUAUUUGUUUGGAGAAUGGCUAUUAAAUUAGCAUUCCAAUCAAAUCAAAUUUAUAGUUUUUCAACUUGUGCUUUUAUAAAUAAAUAUCAACAUUGUUAAUAUUAACUUAAAUAUUCUUUCAUUAAUAAUUGUUUAGUAUAAACGUGUCAUCUAUUUCGUAGUUCUCAAGUGUCGCGUUUGUCCGCGCGUCGUUCGCGCGUGCUGUCGUGCUAUUUCUCAGUUUCGCACAUCGCACGCUUUGUCUUGCGUCGUUAAUUCGCCUCGCUUAGAAUCGCUUUGUCUGGCUGAGAGCUGUUAUUGUAGCAAAUUAAUUAAAACUAUUUAAUAGCUCUAAAUUUACAUUCGAUAAAUGUCGAUUAAUACAAGUAUGUCAAAUUAAAUGUUCGGGUUCAUAUUUGUAUAAUGUAAACGCGAUAACUUCUCAAUCAUAGUUUAAAUCUCGGCAUUUCUUUUUCUCGUCUGACCAUUGAAGCGAGCUCUAUUUCAUGUUGCACGUUUUUAUAAUGUUUUCUGUUAUAUAGCGUACUAUUCAGUUCUGUUUUAAGAAUAUUGAAUGUAUGUUCGCACUCGCCUAGAUAACGUUCCGUCCGCGGAGUCCGAGAAAGUUGCAGAAGAAGCCCCUGAGCAGUAGCUGUUUUGUGAAGGCAAGUGUCCUCUGACCUAUUAUGGCAUAUUUACUUUAUAAUACACUUUUCGUAUACUAUGAGUAACAUAGGAAUUGACUAGCUUUCUAUUUAUCCUAUCCUUAAUUACCUUUUUAGGUUGGGCUAUUAUGAUCAACUAUAUGCUAGUGCUUUACUUUAAUCAACGAACAUGAUGAGAAUUACUUUAUGAUACGAUGAUUUUAUUCUGGAUAUAAUUAUGAACUUGUGGCACUUUAGGGGGAUCGGGUUGUUUUCCGAGUACCUUUGUCGGGGACCAUAAUUAGGGGUACCCCCAAGACUCCUAAUCUCAGCUGGUAACCCCCAUCAGCACAAAGCUGCAAAGGCCUGAUGGGCGCGAUUCAGGUCAAGGCUCCGUCCACUCAAGGGACGCGAUCUCGCCUCGCUCGAGCCCAGCCUCGGGCAAAGGCAGCCGACCCAGGAGGAUUCACGUCUCGCCCGAGGGUCCCCUCAAGCAACGGACGCACCUUCGGCUCGCCCGAGGCCCAGGCUUCGCGGAGAAGCAACCUUGGCCAGAUCGCCACGCCAACCGACCAUAUCGUAGGAGCAUUUAAUGCAAGGAUCGACUGACACCUUAUCCUGACGCGCGCUCCUUAGUCGACAGGGCCGAAGUGACCACAGUCACUUCGCCGCUCCACUGACCGACCUGACAGGAAAACAGCGCCGCCUGCCCUGCUCCGACUGCUGUGCCACUCGAUAGAGUGAGGCUGACAGCAGCUAAGUCCAGCCUCGGGCGCCAUAGGAAGCUCCGCCUCGCUCGACCCCAGAGCUCGGACUCAGCCUCGACGCCGGACGACGGACUCUGCCUCGCCCGACUCCAGGGCUCGGACUCAACCUCAACGCCGGACGACGGACCCCACCUCGCCCGACCCCAGGGCUCGGACUCAACCUCGACGCCGGACGACGGACUCCGCCUCGCCCGACCCUAGGGCUCGGACUCAACCUCGACCUCGGACGACGGUCUCCGCCUCGCCCGACCCCCGGGCCCGGACUCAGCCUCGACCUCGGAGGAGUCACCGCCUCGCCCGACCCCGGGCUUGGACCGACCACGUCACAGGGGGAGACAUCAUUACCCUACCCCUAGCCAGCUCAGGCUACAGGGAAUAAGACCGGCGUCCCAUCCGGCUCACCCCGGUAAACAAGUAAUGAUGGCACCCCGCGUGCUCCAUGACGACGGCCAGCAAGGAUCCGACAGCCCCGACAGCUGUACUUCCACGGGGCUCAAGCGCUCCUCCGACGGCCACAACAUCACAUGAACAGGGCGCCAAAACCUCUCCGACAGCCACGACGGCACGUACAUAGGGCUCUGGCUCCUCUCUGCUAGACAUGUUAGCACAUUGCUACACCCCCCGUUGUACACUUGGGCCCUCUCCUUACGCCUAUAAAAGGAAGGUCCAGGGCUCUCAUACGAGAAGGUUGGCCGCGCGGGAGAACGGGCUGGCGGACAGUCUCUCUCUCUCUCUCACUCUCCCUCGCGAACGCUUGUAACCCCCUACUGCAAGCGCACCCGACCUAGGCACAGGACAACACGAAGGCCGCGGGUUUCCCCUUUGCUAUUUUCCCCCCUUUGUGUUUCGUCUCGCACCGACCCAUCUGGGCUGAGACACGCGGCGACAAUUUACUCGUCGGUCCAGGGACCCCCCGGGGUCAAAACGCCGACAGUUGGCGCGCCAGGUAGGGGCCUGCUGCGUGUUAACGAAUAGCUUCCCGUCAAGCUCCAGAUGGGUAGUCUCCACCAACCUCUCCAACCCGGGACGAUGCUUCGUUUCGGGAGUCUCGAGUUCAUGUCCCUCGACGGCAGCUACGACAUGAUACUCCUUCCUCUAUCGUGCGACAACGAUAAUGGCGGCCGUCAGCCCGCCCGCCGACGGCGGAAUCGAUGAUGUCUUCCCCACGUGACAGAAGAGCAACAUCCGGGUCUGUCCCGUCACCUUCCCCGCCGAUGGAGGAGGAGGUGGGGCAGGCAUGGCCAAGCAGGAGGCGGCACCUCGUCGGCUGUCGAGCGAGUCGACGACGCUGGCGCCCCAAUGGGGGACACGUCGGGCGUUGACCUCGCGUCUGAGAUGAAGACGAGCAUCGUUUCCCCGCAACACGCCAACCCAAGCAGACGGACGACGCCAGCACGCUCGCGAAGGACUUGCUGGGCGUUAGCCUCGUACCUGAGAUAACGGUGCAGUCCGUUCCUGACGCGACUUCGUCACCACCCGUCGAUCAAGAGGUACCGUCCGUUUCCCAUCCCAUGCCUUUUAAAUUCAGUUGCGACCCACCAAGCGGCCCCGCUUCGGUGGACGCUUUCAUAAAGGCAUGUCCAAACCCUCUGGGGUAUCAUAUGCGGUCAACCUGGGACCGACUGACGGCCGUCUCGACCUACGGCCCCUGGGUUCCGAGGAAGAUGACGAGCCCGACUAUGGUUGGGAUUUCUCCAGGCUCGGUAACCCCAGUGCCAUGCGGGACUUCAUGACCGCAUGUGACUACUGCCUCUCCGAUUGCUCUGAUAGCAGCCACAGCCUUGGCGACGAGGACUGUGGCCCAAGUCGCGAAUGCUUCCACGUCGAUCUAGGGGGUCUCGACGAAGGCAACCAUCUUGGUAUGCCGGAGGAUGGUGAUCCCCCUAGGCCUGCGCCUCGCGUUGACAUCCUUCGGGAGCUAGCUGUGGUCCCAGUCCCUGCGGGGGGUCAGGACGCACAGCUCGAGCAAAUCCACGAGGUACAGGCCAGGCUCGACGAGGAAGCAGGACAACUUGUGCAGCUUCGGCAAAAUAUCGGGCAGGAGUGGGCAGGCCGAGCACCGGCCGGAGAAGCGCGUCAUCUGGCCCAGAACGUCCAGCACCGCAUCGCCGACGAUGCCAGGGCGAGGCUGCCCCCGGCUUCCAGUGGGGUCGCCCAGAACCUGGCUGCAGCAGCGAUACUACUCCGAGCGAUGCCGGAACCAUCCACCACCAAGGGGCGGCGUAUCCAGGGAGAGCUCAAGAAUCUCCUGGAAGAUGUCGCGGUCCGAUGGGUCGAGAGCUCUGCCUCCCGAAGGCAGGGGUACCCCCGGAGCAUCGCGCCACGACUUACCGAUUCAUGCGGGAAGCCUCGGUCCACACCGGGCGAACGCGGAACUCAGCGCCUGCGGCCCCGGGUCGUCUCGGCAACGAGCACCGCCACGACCGUCGAGCCCACCUCGACGAGAAGGUGUGCCGAGGCUACCACCCCAGGCGUGGGGGACGCUACAACAGCGGGGAGGAUCGGAGCCCCUCACCUGAACCACCCGGUCCGCAAGCUUUCAGCCGGGCCAUACGACGGGCGUCGUUCCUGACCCGGUUCCGAACCCCGACUACCAUCACCAAGUACUCGGGGGAGUCAAAGCCGGAACUGUGGCUCGCGGACUACCGACUGGCCUGCCAGCUGGGUGGAACGGACGAUGACAACCUCAUCAUCUGCAACCUUCCCCUGUUCCUCUCCGACGCCGCCCGAGCCUGGUUGGAGCAUCUGCCUCCUGCGCAGAUCUCCAACUGGGACGACCUGGUCAAAGCCUUCGCCGGCAACUUCCAAGGCAUGUACGUGCGUCCUGGGAACUCCUGGGAUCUCCGAAGCUGCCGCCAGCAGCCGGGAGAAUCCCUUCGGGACUACAUCCAGCGAUUUUCGAAGCAGCGCACCGAGCUGCCCAACAUCACCGACUCGGAUGUCAUUGGCGCUUUCCUCGCCGGCACCACUUGCCGCGACCUGAUGAGCAAGCUGGGUCGCAAGACUCCCACCAGGGCAAGCGAGCUGAUGGACAUCGCCACCAAGUUCGCCUCUGGUCAGGAGGCGGUCGAGGCCAACUUCCGGAAGGACAAGCAGCCUCAGGGGCGCCAGCCGGAAGACGUCCUCGAGGCGUCCGCUCAGCGCGGCACCAAGAAGAAGGGCAAGAAGAAGUCGCAAGUGAAACGCGACGCUGCCGACGCAGACCUUGUCGCUGCCGCCGAGCACAGGAACCCUCGGAAGCCUCCCAGAGACGCCAACCUAUUCGACAAGAUGCUCAAGGUGUCGUGUCCCUAUCAUCAGGGUCCCGUUAGGCACACCCUUGAGGAGUGCGUCAUGCUUCGGCGCUACUUCCACAAGGUCGGGCCACCGGCGGAAGGUGGCAGAGCCCCCGACAACGACAAGAAGGAGGAUCACAAGGCAUAGGAGUUCCCCGAGGUCCACGACUGCUUCAUGAUCUACGGUGGGCAAGUGGCGAACGCCUCGGCUCGGCACCGCAAGCAAGAGCGCCGGGAGGUCUGCUCGGUAAAGGUGGCGGCGCCAGUCUACCUAGACUGGUCCGACAAGCCCAUCACCUUCGACCAGGGCGACCACCCCGACCGCGUGCCGAGCUCGGGAAAGUACCCGCUUGUUGUCGAUCCCGUCAUCGGCCACAUCAGGCUUACCAAGGUCCUCAUGGACGGAGGCAACAACCUCAACAUCAUCUACGCCGAGACCCUCGGGCUCCUCCAGAUCGAUCUGUCCUCGAUCCGGGCCGGCGCGACGCCCUUUCACGGGAUCAUCCCCGGGAAAUGCGUCCAACCCCUUGGGCAACUCGAUCUGCCCAUCUGCUUCGGGACUCCCUCCAACUUCCGAAAGGAAACCCUCAUGUUCAAGGUGGUCGGGUUCCGAGGAACCUACCACGCGGUACUGGGGAGACCAUGCUACGCCAAGUUCAUGGUCGUCCCCAACUACACCUACCUCAAGCUCAAGAUGUCGGGGCCCAACGGGGUCAUCACCGUCGGCUCCACGUAUCGACACGCGUACGAAUGCGACGUGGAGUGCGUGGAGUACGCCGAGGCCCUCGCCGAAUCCGAGGCCCUCAUCGCCGACCUGGAGAGCCUCUCCAAGGAGGCGCCAGAUGCGAAGCGCCACGCCGGCAACUUUGAGCCAGCUGAGACGGUUAAGUCCGUCCCUCUCGACCCCAGCAACGACGCCUCCAAGCAGAUCCGGAUCGGCUCUGAGCUCGACCCCAAAUAGGAAGCAGUGCUCGUCGACUUUCUCCGCGCGAACGCCGAGGUUUAUGCGUGGAGUCCCUCGUACAUGCCUGGCAUACCGAGAGAUGUCGCCGAGCACUCGCUGGACAUCCGAGCUGGAGCCCGACCCAUGAAGCAGCCUCUGCGCCGAUUCGACGAAGAAAAGCGCAGAGCCAUAGGCGAGGAGAUCCACAAGCUGAUGGCUGUAGGGUUCAUCAAAGAGGUAUUCCAUCCUGAAUGGCUUGCCAACCCCGUGCUUGUGAGAAAGAAAGGGGGGAAAUGGCGGAUGUGUGUAGACUACACUGGUCUAAACAAAGCAUGUCCGAAAGUUCCCUACCCUCUGCCUCGCAUCGAUCAAAUCGUGGAUUCCACUGCUGGGUGCGAAACCCUGUCUUUCCUCGAUGCCUACUCAGGGUUUCACCAAAUCAGGAUGAAAGAGUCUGACCAGCUCGCGACUUCUUUCAUCACACCAUUUGGCAUGUACUGCUACGUUACUAUGCCAUUCGGUUUGAGGAAUGUGGGUGCGACAUACCAAAGGUGCAUGAACCACGUGUUCGGAGAACAUAUUGGCCGAACGGUCGAGGCUUACGUCGAUGACAUCGUAGUCAAGACGAGGAAGGCCUCCGACCUCCUCUCUGACCUUGAAACGACAUUCAAGUGUCUCAAGGCGAAAGGUGUAAAACUCAAUCCCGAGAAGUGUGUCUUCAGAGUCCCCCGAGGCAUGCUCCUGGGGUUCGUCGCCUCCGAGCGGGGCAUCGAGGCCAACCCGGAGAAAAUCGCGGCCAUCACCAACAUGGGGCCCAUCAAGGACUUGAAAGGAGUACAGAGGGUCAUGGGAUGCCUUGCGGCCCUGAGCCGUUUCAUCUCGCGCCUCGGCGAAAGAGGCCUACCUCUGUACCGCCUCUUAAGGAAGACCGAGCGCUUCACUUGGACCCCCGAGGUCGAGGAAGCCCUCGGGAACCUAAAGGCGCUCCUUACAAGCGCGCCCAUCUUGGUGCCCCCCGCUGCUGGAGAAGCCCUCUUGAUCUACGUCGCCGCUACCACUCAGGUGGUCAGUGCCGUGAUCGUGGUCGAGAGACGAGAAGAGGAGCAUGCAUUGCCCGUCCAGAGGCCGGUCUACUUCAUCGGUGAAGUACUGUCCGAGACCAAGAUCCGCUACCCACAAAUCCAGAAGCUACUGUACGCGGUAAUUCUGACGCGGCGAAAGUUGCGACACUACUUCGAGUCUCACCCGGUGACUGUGGUGUCAUCCUUCCCCCUGGGAGAGAUCAUCCAGUGCCGAGAGGCCUCGUGUAGGAUUGCAAAAUGGGCGGUGGAGAUCAUGGGCGAGACAAUCUCAUUCGCCCCUCGGAAGGCCAUCAAGUCCCAAGUCUUGGCGGACUUCGUGGCUGAAUGGGUCGACGCCCAACUUCCAGCAGCUCCGAUCCAACCGGAACUCUGGACCAUGUUUUUCGAUGGGUCGCUGAUGAAAACAGGAGCGGGCGCGGGCCUGCUCUUCAUCUCGCCCCUCGGGAAGCACCUCCGCUACGUGUUGCACCUCCAUUUCCCGACGUCCAACAACGUGGCCGAGUACGAGGCUCUGGUUAACGGGUUGCGUAUCGCCAUCGAGCUAGGGGUCCGACGCCUCGAUGCUCGUGGCGACUCGCAGCUUGUCAUCGACCAAGUCAUGAAGAACUCCCAUUGUCGCGACCCGAAGAUGGAAGCCUACUGCGAUGAGGUUCGGCGCCUGGAGGACAAGUUCUUCGGGCUCGAACUCAACCACAUUGCCCGACGAUACAACGAGACUGCGGACGAGCUGGCUAAGAUAGCCUCGGGGCGAACAACGGUUCCCCGUUCCCCCGGACGUCUUCUCCCGAGACCUACAUCAACCCUCAGUCAAGACCGACGACACGCCCGAGCCCGAGAAGGUCUCGGCCCUGCCCGAGGCGCCCUCGGCUCAGCCCGAGGCACCCUCGACCCCCGAGGGUGAGGCACUGCGCGUCGAGGAAGAGCGGAAUGGGGUCACGCCUAAUCAAAACUGGCAGACCCCGUACCUGCAAUAUCUCCACCAAGGAGAGCUACCCCUCGACGGAGCCGAAGCUCGGCGACUGGCGCGACGCGCCAAGUCGUUCGUCUUGCUGGGUGACGGGAAGGAGCUCUACCACCGUAGCCCCUCAGGCAUCCUCCAGCGAUGCAUAUCCAUCGCCGAAGGUCAGGAACUAUUACAAGAAAUACACUCGGGGGCUUGCGGUCAUCACGCAGCGCCUCGAGCCCUCGUUGGAAACGCCUUCCGACAGGGUUUCUACUAGCCAACCGCGGUGGCCGACGCCACAAGGAUUGUACGCACCUGCCAAGGGUGUCAAUUCUACGCAAAGCAGACCCACCUGUCCGCUCAGGCUCUACAAACAAUACCCAUCACCUGGUCGUUCGUUGUGUGGGGUCUGGACCUCGUCGGUCCCUUGCAGAAGGCACCCGAGGGCUACACGCACCUGCUGGUCGCUGUCGACAAAUUCUCCAAGUGGAUCGAGGUCCGACCCCUAAACAGCAUCAGGUCCAAACAGGCGGUGGCGUUCUUCACCAACAUCAUCCAUCGCUUCGGGGUCCCAAACUCCAUCAUCACCGACAACGGCACCCAGUUCACCGGCAGAAAGUUCCUGGACUUCUGUGAGGAUCACCACAUCCGGGUGGACUGGGCCGCCGUAGCUCACCCCAUGACGAAUGGGCAAGUAGAGCGUGCCAACGGCAUGAUUCUGCAAGGACUCAAGCCAUGGAUCUACAACGACCUCAACAAAUUCGGCAGGCGAUGGAUGAAAGAACUCCCCUCGAUGGUCUAGAGUCUGAGAACGACGCCAAGCCGAGCCACGGGCUUCACGCUGUUUUUUCUAGUCUAUGGGGCCGAAGCUAUCCUGCCCACGGACUUGGAAUACGGAUCCCCGAGGACGAGGGCGUACGACGACUGAAGCAACCGGACCAACCGAGAAGACUCACUGGACCAGCUGGAAGAGGCUCGAGACAUGGCCUUACUACACUCGGCGCGGUAUCAGCAGUCCCUGUGACGCUACCACGCCCUAGGGGUUCGGUCCCGAGACCUCCAGGUGGGCGACUUGGUGCUUCGGCUACGACAAGACGCCCGAGGGCGCCACAAGCUCACGCCUCCCUAGGAAGGGCCAUUCAUCAUCGCCAAGAUUUUGAAGCCCGGAACAUACAAGCUGGCCAACAGUCAAGGCGAGGUCUACAACAACGCUUGGAACAUCCGACAGCUACGUCGCUUCUACCCUUAAGAUGUUUUCAAGUCGUUCAUAUACCUCGUCUACAUACGCCAACAAAGUCUAACCAUCAAGGAAGGGUCAGCCUUGCCUCGGCAAAGCCCGACCCUCCCUCGGGGGCUAGAAGGGGGGCACCCCCUCUGCUUCAAAAUUUUCCUCGGAAAAAGUCUUUCUGCCAGAACAUCUUUCAUGCUUUUCGACUACUUCGAAAGUGGGAUCCUAAAAACGACGGAGUACACGUAAGCAGGCAAGGCCAACCGAGACGAGGGACUCCUACGCCUCCGGGAUACGGAUACCUCACUCAUCACCUUCUGCGAUAAGUAACUCACGCUCGGAUAAGCGAUUCCGCUGACCGAACAAGUCUUAAUGCUCGAAAACUUUUCUGUCGAAACGAUUUUUCGUGCCUUCUUGACUAUAUCGAUAACAGAAUCCAACGGACGAGUAAGAGUACACGUAAGCAGCAAGGCUGACCGAGCCGAGGGACUCCUACGCCUCCGAGAUACGGAUACCUCACUCAUCACCUUCCGUGAAAAGUAACUCUUGCUCGGAUAAGCAAUUCUGUUACCGAUAAAUAAGUCAUGAUACUCGAAACAAGGGGAAAAGAAACGCAGCUUUACAACACGACGAUGGUAUGUUUGGGCCUCGGCGGCCGCCAAAAAACAUACGCACACUACAGAUAAACUGAUUCCUGCAGGAUCAGACAUCAGUGGGGGAGCAGCAGCACCCUCGGCAUCGACUCCACCUUCGGCGGAGUCCGACCCAGCCUCGGACGGCGACAUGGUCGAAGGGUCUCCACCCCAAAGGAAGCUGUCAACACCACGCCUGGGCCAUCGUCGCAGGGGUCUCCUCUAGGAACUCGGCCCGAGCAGACGGCUCGACCGGCCACUCCGUAGCCUCAGCCAGCUGUCCCCCGAGGACAUCAGCCCGGCUCGUGGCCUCGGCAACCCGACUCCGGCGUCGGUCCCGCCAGUGGACGGCCCGGCCAGGCUCUGGCCGACGAAGCUUCUUUUCGAGCCAACUCUGCCUCUGUCCGUGCUGACACCGCUGCCUCCGGCUUCGGCUCAUCACAGAGCGGCUGAGGGUUUCUUUAACUAAGCAAGAGAAGCCUCGGACGGCAAGGCCGACCGAGCUGAGGGACUCCUACGCCUCCGGGAUACGGAUACCUCACACGUCACCUUCCGCACGAGGCAACUCACACUUGGUUAAGCGGUUCAGCUAGCCGACAGGCGAGUCCUAGUGCUCGAAAUGAGGAAGAAACACGGCUUUACGCCAAAAUACAUAAAUGUUCCGGCCCCGACAGCCACGAUGAACAGACACCGGCACUCAAGGUGCCAUUACGAACAGAACUCUGGUUCCACUCCCGCAGGUACGAACAACCCCCCACAUUGGAGGGCCUGCGGGGCGACGAAAGCCCAGGUGGCUCGCCGCCGCCCGCUCCGGCAGCAGCGACGACGACCUCCGCUCCGGACGGCCAAACAGCAGCAGCGAUGACCUCAGGGCAGACGCUGCUGCGAUAAGGUCCUCGCCCUCAUCCCCACUCGAGGGGCGAGGACAAGCUAUCAAAGCCAAAGAGCCAGAGGCCCGGAGCGUGGAUGGUGGCGGCGAUCUCGUCGGCGACGAGGACUUCUUCAGCCGCCACCACCUCGGCACCAACGACGGCAGCCGUCUGCCCACCGGCAGAUCCCCACCCGGGUCCUCCCAGACGGGCGAACACCGACCUCCACGCAGGGGCGUCGUACCGGAGCAAAGGCAGGAUAGCCCAAGAACACGAACGCCGCCCUAGCAGCGCGCGACAUCUUGGGCGGUCCCCCGGUGCGCGCGGCGCGACAGCCGCCCGCACGUCGGGCAGAUAGCCGUGAUCCGCCCAACGAUGGAAGGUGGCACCGGAAGCUGCGCCAGAGCUAGCUGAGCCAGCGAACCGGGCACGCGGGAGCUGACGACGCUUGCGGCCAUUCGGCCCCACGUUGUCGAAGUCCGCCCCUUCCGCUAAGCCGGUGAGCACCCUCUCCCCUGAGUGGUGAGGGAGAAGGUGACCCACGAACCCGCGAGGGAGGUAGAGCUCCGGCUCAGCCCGGCCUCCACCCUAGCCAGGAUGAUGAAGAUCCUUGAAGCUGAGGGCGGGGCAGAGGUCGCAGCCCGGCUCGCUUCUCUCCACCGUCAAACUGGUGGUCACCGUCUUGGGUGACCACUGGCGAGGGGAUGCAGCCGGGCUGCCUGAUGAAAAUCCUUGAAGCCGAGCGAUGGCUGAAAGAUACCAACUUCCGCGAAGUUGCGUUCCUCCAACGACGACAAAACGAAAGCAACGCGGGCGCUCCCCAUCCGGGGGCUCGGAAGGUGGAAGGGCGCGAUGCAUGGGGAGAGUGUGAAGACAUGGUUGCCAUCCAAGGGGGUCGCCCUCCUUUUAAAGGCAACUCUCCCCACUUGCGUCCUCAGCCGUCACUGACGGAGUCUUCACCAACAAGCUCCAAGGUCUUCCCCCUACGACACGGGAGCUGGGUCCCACGCGUCAUGCAAGCUGGCCCUGGGCAGAAGAAGCCAAACCGCCGCGCGCAGAGCACGUAACUGCCCAGCAGUUACAAGCGCUCCUCCACUUUCGCCCAGACCGGCGGGUGAAAGGGCGGACCGCCAUGCAGGCGGCAUGCAACCGCACCAAGGGGGCGCACCCUUUCGACUCUGAUGCGUCCAGCAUGGGGGCCUAGGCCCACGCGUCAUGUAACCGGUGCGCCGGUUACUACGUGUGGGAAACUGCACCGCCACUUGCGCCAGUACCGCGCCUUCUCGACUGCAGAACCGGUGUCACGACUCGAGGCAACCCUGCGCAUGGCCCAACAGUGCCAACCGAGCACAUCGGUCACGGGUCAGUCAGCCGCGGGAGAAGGCGCGACGGUCGAUAUGGCCAAAAGUGGGCCGGUAGUAAUGGCGGUGGCAGGCGGGCGGAAGCAGCGGUCAAGUCGUCUGCAGGCUCACGUCCCCUCCUGGGACAGCGAGAGAGCCCUCUCCCACGGCGUGAAGACGACGCGCCCGUGUUCCAUUCCUCGAACGGCUCGCACACGCACAACGGCUGCCCCGUGAACCACUCGUCCCGUCGCAUUAACUCUGCGGCAGGACAUGCGGCACCUUUGGCAGGCGAAGCAGGCGACGCUUCACCUUCGCCUUAAUGACCGCGUCAAAAAAGGUGCGCCAUGUCGUUCGAUUUCGUAUCCUUUUCCUCUUCCUCUUUCUCUCUCUUACUAUAGGGAUCGGGAAAGGGGGAUACUCCGAAAGGGAUCCUUCUCCGCGAAGGAAGUGGGCCCCAAGCCCUCCUACUGAUCAGAGGUUCGAAGGCUGGCCCCUCAGAAGGGUUCGACAGCCGCCUCAGAGCACUCGGGCCACGAGCCCUCCUACUGAUCAGAGGUUCGAAGGCUGGCCCCUCGGAAGGGUUCGACAGCCGCCUCAGAGCACUCAGGCUCCGCGCCCACUACUGGUCAGAGGUUCGAAGGCUAGCCCCUCGAAGGGGUUCGACAGCCGCCUCAGACCACUCGGGCUCCGCGCCCACUACUGAUCAGGGGUUCGUAGGCUGGCCCCCGAAGGGUUCGACAGCCGCCUCAGAGCAUGCAGAGCGAGGGAUGACUCUGGGUACGUCCGAUACAUGGCCGAGGCUCGAGCUACGCUCCUGAGGUACCCUAGGACAUUUCCGAGACCAGCAGGAGCGAUUCUGUAAUGGAAUCCCAUCAGAGGGAGGCAUCGAGCCCUCGGACCCUAUCAAACGGGACCGGGUCUGGCAAAUCACCUGCAAGUACUUUUGGAGCGUGCCUCUGGGCCACUAGCCGACCCUUAUCGAACGGGGCACGGGCGUCCACUCGGAUCACCCGUUAGCAACUCACUGGAGACACCAUGUUCGGCGCCCUCCGAGGGCAACAUGGCGCUUUCCCCCCUCCUCCUUGCGGAAAGGCGACACAGGGGCGUAUGAAAAAAGUCGAGUCAGUCCUUGACCGUCCUCUCGCUCUGUGCGGAGGCUCGGGGGCUGCUCUCGCAAACCCGGCUCCGGCCAAACCGUUGACAGCGUCAACAUACCAGCCCGAGAACUUGGAACCUGACUAUGCACCCGGGCUACGACCAGUUCGCAUGAGGGAACAACCAGACCGGCCGAAGCAUCACAAAACGCGCUAAGACCUCGAAGGAGUCAAACCACUCCUCCGAGGCCUCGGGGGCUACACCCGGCGGGUGCGCUCGCGCGCACCCACCGGAAUGAAACGCAACCGAGAAAGGCCGGUCCCCUUGCAAAAAAGUGCGACACAAGCCUCCAAGCGAGUACUAACACUCCCUUCGAGGCUCGGGGGCUACUGUCAGGGACCAUAAUUAGGGGUACCCCCAAGACUCCUAAUCUCAGCUGGUAACCCCUAUCAGCACAAAGCUGCAAAGGCCUGAUGGGCGCGAUUCAGGUCAAGGCUCCGUCCACUCAAGGGACGCGAUCUCGCCUCGCCCGAGCCCAGGCUCGGGCAAAGGCAGCCGACCCAGGAGGAUUCACGUCUCGCCCGAGGGUCCCCUCAAGCAACGGACGCACCUUCGGCUCGCCCGAGGCCGAGGCUUCGCGGAGAAGCAACCUUGGCCAGAUCGCCACGCCAACCGACCGUAUCGCAGGAGCAUUUAAUGCAAGGAUCGACUGACACCUUAUCCUGACGCGCGCUCCUCAGUCGACAGGGCCGAAGUGACCACAGUCACUUCGCCGCUCCACUGACCGACCUGACAGGAAAACAGCGCCGCCUGCCCUGCUCCGACUGCUGUGCCACUCGACAGAGUGAGGCUGACAGCAGCUAAGUCCAGCCUCGGGCGCCAUAGGAAGCUCCGCCUCGCCCGACCCCAGAGCUCGGACUCAGCCUCGACGCCGGACGACGGACUCCGCCUCGCCCAACUCCAGGGCUCGGACUCAACCUCGACGCCGGACGACGGACUCCGCCUCGCCCGACCCCAGGGCUCGGACUCAACCUCGACGCCGGACAACGGACUCCACCUCGCCCGACCCUAGGGCUCGGACUCAACCUCGACGCCGGACGACGGACUCCGCCUCGCCCGACCCCAGGGCUCAGACUCAACCUCGACCUCAGACGACGGUCUCCGUCUCGCCCGACCCCCGGACCCGGACUCAGCCUCGACCUCGGAGGAGUCACCGCCUCGCCAACCCCGGGCUCAGACCGACCACGUCACAGGGGGGAGCCAUCAUUACCCUACCCCUAGCCAGCUCAGGCUACGGGGAACAAGACCGGCGUCCCAUCCGGCUCGCCCCGGUAAACAAGUAAUGAUGGCACCCCACGUGCUCCAUGACGAUAGCGGCUCUCAGCCCCUUACGAAAGCAAGGAGACGUCAGCAAGGAUCCGACAACCCCGACAGUUGUACUUCCACGGGGCUCAAGUGCUCCUCCGAUGGCCACGACAUCACAUGAACAGGGCGCCAAAACCUCUCCGACAGCCACGACGGCACGUACAUAGGGCUCUGGCUCCUCUCUGCUAGAUACGUUAGCACAUUGCUACACCCCCUGUUGUACACCUGGGCCCUCUCCUUACGCCUAUAAAAGGAAGGUCUAGGGCUCUCAUACGAGAAGGUUGGCCGCGCGGGAGAACGGGCUGGCGGACAGUCUCUCUCUCUCACUCUCCCUCGCGAACGCUUGUAACCCCCUACUGCAAGCGCACCUGACCUGGGCGCAGGACAACACGAAGGCCGCGGGUUUCCCCUUUGCUGUUUUCCCCCGUUUGUGUUCCGUCUCGCGCCGACCCAUCUGGGCUGGGACACACGGCGACAAUUUACUCGUCGGUCCAGGGACCGCCCGGGGUCGAAGCACCGACAACCUCUACGAAAGGAACUGUUUGUUGAGAGACCACCUAUAAAAACAUUACAACCAUAAGGGUGUAUGGGACGCACUUAGCUGAUUAAUUGGAGGAAUCUAGGGGUGUAGUUUGCUUCAUCGUUGUGCCGUCAAUGGAGGCUGGGGCAUAGUGCUUGCUCUGCUAAGGGCGGGUGCUGAGGUUUAUUCGAUUUGGUUUGUUAGUCACCCCCUUAGGGAGGAGUAUUGUCUUUGUACGACUGGCGAAACCUAAUGAACGGCUACACACCAGGAGAAUCUUUGUAAAGUCUAUGUAGUGAAACCUUGUCGGCUCACCUUAGAAGUGUUUGAGGGUUUGAUCGACCCGAGGCAAAAAAAGUGAUCACGACUAAUAACAAUGUAAAUUUUGUUUUUGAUGGAUAUUAUCUAGUUUCUAUAUGUCCCCUUUUAGACCUCAUGGUAUAAUACAUAUUGCAAGUUCUUUUCUUCCAUAAACUAAGAUCAAGUUAUUAGUUGUUUUUUAUAUGUAUUUUUUUGGUGGAAUAUCAUUGCAAUAGGCAUUUAUACCUUCUUAUUGCAUUUAUGUCUUUUUAUUUUUUUAUAUAUCAUUGCAAAUGAAUUUCUACAUUUAACAAUGUCUUAUUUGCUAAUUUAUUGAUAUACAAUGCUUGGUAUGCUUGGAUCAUCAAUGAGGUAAUUUUUUGACAAUUUAUGGUUGAGUACAAACUUCAUUGGUCAAUUUGGUACUUAUUAUAUAUUCAUAUGUUGCUUUCCCUUUCUUGAUUAAAAUCACAUUAUCAUCCAAGGUAAUGAUCCAUUUGGAGUUUAUAUGAUAGUUUUUGUGCAACCAGAUUGUUAUAGUGCUUGAUAUAUUUGUAUCAUCGAUGAGGUAAUUUUUUUGACAAUUCAUGUAAGAGCACAAACUUCUUAUUAGUUUUGUACUUAUCAUAUGUUACUUUUCCUUACUCGAGUUAAAUCACAUUACCAUUCAAGAUUUGGUUGGAGCUUGUAUGAGAAUUUUUGCACGACUUAACUAUUUUUUUCUUUAUACUAUAUGUAGGUUCUUUUCUUGAGUGUUGCUUUAUGUUUUUUAGUUUAUUGGUUUUGGGGUUCUAAAAAAUAAAACUAAUUUUAUUAUUAAUUGAAUUAAGGUUGUACAACAUUAUCAUGUAUUGUUGUAUAAAUGAAUAGUUACAUUUUUAAUAUGGUAUAUAUUAAUUGAUGUGUUAAAGUUUCUUUCGUUGUGUAUGAUUUUUACAUGUGUGUCGCACCUGCAUUGUCCUCUAAUUUUUAAAAGAGGAACAUAAACUCGCAAUUAUUAUCCUGGUCCCUAAACUUCUAAAGUGCACAUCUAAGAUUUCUAAACUUGUGAAGUUGUAUUGUCCCGAUCUCUAAACUCUCAACAUGCACAUUUCGAUCCUUAUAUGGUUUUUGGAGUCAUCAAAGAUAUAAACUAUUUGGACCUAUGAUGACAUUAAAAAACAAGUUUAUGGAUCUUUAGAGCAUCUCCAACAGUUUGUUAAAAAUGAAUUCCAAAACACUGGUUUUACGGUCUCCCAAAACAUAUUAGAUAAAGAAAAAUCUCUUGUCCUCCAACCGUUCCUUAAAGACUAUUUCCUAAAUAGUUUAAACCUUGCCACAUCAUCUUAAUUAAUAGGUCCACAUAUAUUCUAUUUUUUCUUAGAGAUCGAUUCAAUCUGGAGACCGAUCUAAUAUAUUAAUCCUGACCCGCCAGUGCUAAUCCAAACGAGUCUGUCGUCGUUCUCUCUCACGUGAGGCUUGGUUCCUUCUAGAUCGAGCAAGAAGGCAUCAAUCAAUAGGAAGGCAUAAAUCCUGCAUCCGGUCUCUCACGUGAGAUGUUAGCCUCAAUUAGUAUUCAUGUGCUAAUUCAAUGUUUUUUAUAUGUACUGUAAUUAUAUUUUUCAGACGCAAUGAGUGAUUGGUCAUUGCUUUCCCGUCGGUAUUUGGACGAAUCAUCCUCUGAAGAUGACGACGAUGCAUUCAUCAUCUUUGCUGCUCAAAUCAUACAGAGUGAGUCAAUACUUCCAGCAAAGCGUGGCGGCUCUAUCCCCGGGCAUUUGUACAUUGUUGACGCCUUUUCGGAGCGCCAAAUACUCAAGAAGAACCGGCGACGGUGCUCUCUGCACAGGGGCGGACGGUCCGCGCGCGGGGCCGGACGGUCCGCGGCCUGGUGCGAGGCGCGGUGGUACUCUCUGCGCAGGGGCGGACUGUCCGCGGCCUGGGGCCGGACGGUCCGCGGCCUGGUGCGCGGCUAGGGCUUCUCUGCCUGACGGUCGGACGGUCCGCGCCCUGAGGCCGGACGGUCCGCGCGUACGCAGAGGCGGCGGAAGUCGCCGGCGGCGCCUGGAUCUCGCUCCCGGGAGGGACCCCGUCGGGGAGGAGAGAUCCUAGGUGGUGUCUAGGCUCGGGCCGGCCGACCUAGACUCCUCUAAUCGACGUAGAGCCGAAGAGAGACGAAGAAUUUGGGGAUUGAGAGGCUAAACCUAAACUAGACUAGAACUACUCCUAGGGUAAAAUGCGAAUAAAAGUUGUAUUGAUUCGAUUGUUGAUGAUUACAAAUCGGCCGUAGACCUCUCUAUUUAUAGAGGAGGGGGGCUGGACCCUUUACACAACUGAUUUCGAGCUAAUCCCGCGAUUUUAGCCAACAACCGUAGCACAAAACUCGGAACCCUAAUCUGCUCUGCGCACGCGCGGACAGUCCGGCCCACAGGCGCGGACCGUCCGGCCUCAGGGCCGGACAGUCCGCCGGCUCAUUUCUGGUUCGAACAUAUGCCCCCCUGCCUUUUGGUGGAGCUGGGCGAACCAAAAGCAACUAACUCGAUGUGAUCACAUCGGUUUUCUUAGGCAUCUUGCCACAUACUAGGAUGGUACUGUUUGAGGAACCGCCCAUUCAAAGCCUUAGGUAAAUCCUUGCCUUGUAAUGUUUGUAGUAAAUAAGCGUUACCAGACAUCACCUGUUUCACUUUAUAAGGACCCUCCCAGCUUGGCGACCAUUUCCCGAACUUUCGGUCUUUAUUCCUUAGAGGUAGAAUGGUCUUACACACCAAGUCUCCUACUUGGAAUGAUUUUGCUUUGACCUUCUUGUUGUAGGCCCUGGCUACCAUGAUCUUGUCCUUUUCUAUUGCUCCCAAAGCUAUCAUCCUCUUAUCGGUCACCUCAUCAAUAUUAUCCAUCAUUGAAUUAUAAUAAUCAGUAGCAGUUAGAUCAUUUUGUCUGGCAAACCUGACAGCAUUCAAACUUAUUUCCACAGGUAACACUGCUUCCUGCCCAUAGACAAGCUCAAAAGGAGAUACUUUAGUAGCACUAUGUUUAGAUAUUCUAUGAGCCCAUAAAGCUUCAGACAAAAUCUUAUGCCAAUGUUUAGGAUUAUCAGAUACCUUCUUCUUUAUCAAAUUAAUCAACGUCCUAUUACUAGACUCGGCCUGUCCAUUGGCCUGAGCAUAAUAUGGAGACGAAUUAAGCAGCUUAAUUCUGUAUAAUUCAGCAAAUUCACGUACCUCCUUUGACAUAAAAGAAGUACCUUGAUCUGUAGUCAAAGUCUGGGGAAUGCCGAAUCUAUGAAUAAUAUGCUCAGUUAUGAACUCAAUUACCUCCUUGUGCGUCAUGUUCUUUAGAGCAACGGCUUCAGUCCAUUUGGUGAAAUAGUCAGUGGCAACUAACACAAACCGAUGCCCUUUUGAUGAUGAAGGAUGAAUUUCUCCAAUAAAGUCUAAUCCCCAUCCUCUGAAUGGCCAAGGCUUGAUGAUAGGAUGUAAUUCGGCUGCAGGGACCAACUGUAGGUCACCGAAUUUUUGACACACUUGGCACCCCUUGUAGUACUUGAAACAAUCAGCUAUCAUACUAGGCCAAUAAAAACCAGACCUUCGCAACAACCACUUCAUCUUUGGAGCUGAUUGAUGGGUACCACAAAUUCCUUCAUGUACUUCGGCCAUAGCUAAUAUAGCAUCAUCUGGGCCCAAGCACUUAAGCAGGACAUCAUUAACCGUUCGGCGGUAAAGUUCAUCACUCAUCAAAACAUACUUGAAAGCUGUUCGCCGAAUGUUCUUAUCUGUCCUGAUAUUGGGAUUUUGCAAAUAAUUAAGUAUAGGUGUCCUCCAAUCACUUGCAUCGGCUUCAUUGUCAGCCGAAUCGACUAAGAGAACCUUUCUGGUAACCUCGGACGGUCCGACGUCAUCACGCGGACGGUCCGCGGCCUGGGAAUUUGGCUCUGCACUGGUUAUCAGAUUUUCAGUUUUGUGAAAUUUCCCUCUCUUUAUCCGAUAACCCGAUGCAUCUUGUGCCAAGUCGCUAGCUCUAUGAUUCUCAACUCUAGAGAUACGUCGAAUACUGAAUUCGUCAAAAGAAUGGAUUAUGCUCCAACAUUUCUCAAGAUAACUAUUUAGAGUACCAUCAAGACAUUGAUAUUCUUCUAACACUUGUUGGACAACCAGCUGAGAAUCACCAAAUACCUUCACAUGUUUUACUCCCAUACCAUUUAAAAGCUCUAAACCGAAUAGGAGGGCCUCAUAUUCAGCUUGAUUAUUAGUGCAAUACGUUUUCAAUCGGCUAGAGAAGUCAAAGGAGACAUUACUUGGUGAAACAAGCACAAUGCCAAUUCCUUGCCCUUCAUUGCAAACCGAUCCAUCAAAAUAUAAAGUCCAAGGAGUAAUAGUGAGGUAUGAUAUGUCUAGUUCAUGAAUAUCAUUAACCCGAUGUUCUACAAUAAAGUCCGCUAUGACUUGGCCUUUCAUAGAUUUCAAUGGUUCAUAAGCCAAGUCAUAUUCUAUGAGUGCAUAAGCCCACUUACCAAUUCUACCACUCAUAAUUGGGUUAUGCAACAUGUACUUGAUUACAUCGGCUUGACCAGAAACAGUGCAAUGACUAGACAGUAAAUAACAUCUACAUUUGGUGCAUGCAUAAAACAAGCAUAAGCAUAACUUUUCAAUAAAAGUGUACCUUGUUUCAGCAUCCACCAACCUUCGGCUUAGGUAUGUCACCACAUGCUCCUUCCCCUCAGUUUCUUGUGUCAGAACAGCCCCAAUAACCUUGUCUUCAGUUGCAAUGUAUAAUCUGAAUGGUGCUCCUACUUGUGGUGCUUUUAACACGGGAGCCGAAGACAAUUAUUUUUUAAUGAGAUCAAAUGCUUCCUGCUGCUCUGCCCCCAAGUGAAUUCAGCAUCAUUCUUAAGCCGAAGGAUAGGGGUGAAGGCAUCAAUUUUCCCGGCUAAGUUAGAAAUAAACCUUCGUAAAUAAUUCACCUUGCCGAGAAACCUCUGCACUUCGACCUUACACGUCGGAGGCCCCACAUUCCGAAUAGACUUGAUUCGGUCAGGGUCUAUUUCUAUACCAUGUUCAUGGAUGACAAAUCCUAAAAACUUACCAGCCGACACUCCAAAAGCACAUUUACGUGGGUUCAUUUUUAAACCAUACCGACGCAUUUUAUCAAAGGCUUUGCGCAAAUCAGCUAUAUGAGAACUAAACUCAGCCGAUUUGACAACAAUAUCAUCAAUGUAGACUUCCACAGUGUUUCCUAACAACUCAUGGAAGAUCAGAUUCAUAGCCCUCUGAUAAGUAGCACUAGCAUUUUUAAGACCGAAUGUCAUGACAACCCAUUCAAAUAAACCAAUGAAGCCUGGACAUAUAAAGGCCGUUUUAGACGCAUCUUCUUCGGCCAUGAAAAUCUGAUUAUAUCCGGCAUUACCAUCAAGGAAGCUAAUAAUUCUAUUCCCUGAUGCAUUAUUGAUUAAUGUGUCGGCUAUGGGCAUGGGAUAUUCAUCUUUAGGAGUUGCUUUAUUUAAAUUACGAAAAUCAAUGCAUACUCUAAGCUUACCUGACUCCUUCUUCUCCACCGGCACAAUAUUGGAGACUCACUCUGCGUAUCUGCAAUGUCUAAUAAAAUUAGCUUCUAGCAGCCGGUGGAUUUCGUCCUUGAUUCGUGGGAGAAGAUCUGGACGAAAUGUUCUAGCUUUCUGCUUGAAAGGUCUGAAACUAGGCUUAAUAGGCAGCCGAUGUUCGACAAUUUCUCGGCUUAGUCCAGGCAUUUCAGUGUAAUUCCAAGCAAAACAAUCUGAAUAUUCCUUCAAUAGACCGAUCAUCUCAUUUCUAGAAUCGGUCUCCAGGGUCUUGUUUACAAAAGUCGGCCUUGGAGUUUUACCAUCUCCUAUGUCAAUCUCCUCCAAAGGAUCGGCCGAUGUAAACCCCUGUCCUAGUUUAUCAAGAUCUCUGAAUUCCUCUAUCAUGGCCCCCACAGAGGAAUCAGAUGAUCUUUGUGUGAUGGCGGACUUUCCGGUCUUGGGGACCGGAUCAUCCGUAAUACUGUCUUUUCGCUGUGGUAGAUGUUCGGUCUUAAAGUCCGAACUCUUUUGUGAAAGACCAGACCAUCCGGCCUUGGCGGCCGAACUGUCCGUGACCAAAGACUCAUGAACUUUGUGUGUAUUCAUCACUUAACUUUAUUAGGAUUUAGCCGAUUCUCCAUCGGCUCUAGCAUUACAGGAAUGAAACCUUUCUUAUCUAUACUUAUGAAUUGAUAAUCAGAAAAGUCUACUCCUGUGAGACAUGUAGCAGUCUCAUAAGUCCAGAGUACAGGGGCAUCAGCCACAGCGAUGCAGGCCGAUACAUCAGCAUGUACUUGUUCUAUGUCAUCGCCUACCCAUUGUAUCAGCAUUUGAUGUAAUGUAGAAGGUAUACAUUGAUUGGCGUGAAUCCAAUCUCUGCCUAGGAUUAAACUGUAAUUUCCUUCUACAUCAGCGACGAAGAAUGCAGCAGCAAGGGUCUUAGUCCCGAUGGUUAAUUCAACGGACGUGACUCCCCUGGCUUUGAUCGAACUAUCAGUUCCAACACCGCUGAGGGUCAUGUUGGUCUUGACAAGUUCGUCAUCUUGUUUACCUAAUUUUCUGUAUAAUGAAUAAGGCAUUAGAUUUACAGCUGCCCCUCCAUCUACCAACAUCUUAGCAAUCGGUAUCCCAUCAAUGUGGCCGCGCACGAAGAGCGGCUUUAAAUGAUUUACCGAUUCUUUUGGUUUAGUAAAGGCGGCUUCUUUAGGACCAAAAUCAAACUGGGCAACAACAGGUUCAUCGUCGCCGAUAAUAGUACAAUCGGCAGAAAAUGUAAUAAUAUUUACAUCCAUACCUGGGUGUUCUGGAGAAGCCUCGUAGUCGACCAGGUCUUCUCCCAGCAGGUCGUCCUCUUCCAUUGAUGUUGUCGUGUCGUUGGAGGCUUCCUGGUGAACGGCGGACGGUCCGCAUGCGGUGGCCGGACGGUCCGCGCCUGGUGCAGGUUGUCCAGAGACUUCCUGGUGAACGGCGGACGGUCCGCGCGUAGGGGACGGACGGUCCGCGCUUGGUGCAGAUUGACUUUCUAUUUCUGUGGCCGUUUGUUUUUUCUCAACGGCCUUCGGUCUCCAUUUCUUUUGCGGUGGCGGGUAUAAUGGAUGUGUGUCAUUAAAUGUCUUUUCCGCCUCCUUCUCCUGGCUCUCCUUUGCUCUUAGGCGCUGUAAUUUUCUCUUUUGGGAUCGUGUCAAUCCCGCUGGGCACCAUCGAGGCAUGGAGUAUUUUGGAUCGGCUGUUUUGAUGGUAGCCGUAUCCUUUUCGGUUGCGUUGGCCGAUUCACCGAAAAUCAUCGGCCCUUUAUUGUCUCCCUGUAUGACAACAUCUGCGGUGCCUAUUUUGAUGAUGUCCCCUUUUGUUGUUUUUUGAGUUGCUGCAGGCAUAUGCCCCCCUGCCGGAUUGGUCGGCCUUGAAGGCCGAGUAGUCCGGCAAUCUUGUUGGGUUUGUGCCUGGUGACCGGAUUGAGCAGUGCUCAAUCGGUCUUGUACUGGUGGCGUCAACCUGUUGAAAACAGAUGUUUGGGGUGCCCCCCAGGCGGGGUACUGUGGCAUGCCCCACAUUUGAUUUGGGACAUAUGGCGGAGGUAAAUAUGUGUACGGAUAUGGCAUAGGUGGAUAUGGAGGUGGAGGUGUCCAUGCAGGUAUGUUAGGUCUCACUUGUAUAGUAUGACCUUUCAUUUCUUUCGAUUGGUGGGGUGAUCCAAUCGGCCUGACCUCGCGCUGCUCAUGCAUGGGUGAGCGGGGUCGCUUUGCUGGCCGGUCACUGGGGUCGGCCUUCUUUUUAACGUAUUUAGACAGUAAUUGAUCAAAAGUUGGGUCGGCUUUAACCAACCGACCAGCUGCCUUGAAUGUAUUUGUUUUCCACGUACCUAUCUCUGGUCGUCGUGGUUUGAAAGUACGUGGCCGUCGUAAGUCCUGAGUACGGCCGGCCCGUCCGCCGGAGCUCUCUGGACCGUCCGGUGGGGUCCCGGACCGUCCGCGCCUACGUGUCGGACCGUCCGGGAUACGUAGCACGGGUUCCUGCAUCUGUCUCCCUGUCUGCGCUUGCCCCCCAGUACUGGAGGCUGUGAUGGUCACCUUUAGGGUCUCCCCUCCAUCGGGAGUCUUCUCGGCUACCACUUUUCUGCAAGAAACUUUAUGAUCCUCAUCGGCCUUUUUAGAAUUGCCGAUGAUUGCCUCUUUGCCUUUGCUUUUAUCGGCCGUGUUUGGCCGAACCAGUACUUUCUUGCCCUCAAAGUCGAUCACGUUCAUUGGAAAGGGCUCUGUAUCCACCUGCAUUUCCUGAAAUUUCAAUCGUCCUUCAUUAAUGGCCGAUUGAAUCUGUCGUCGAAAUACAUUACAAUCAUUAGUGGCAUGAGAAAAUGAGUUAUGCCACUUGCAGUACGCACGACGUUUUAGCUCGUCGGCGGAUGGAACAGUGUGAUUUAUUUUAAUAUUGCCAUUUUUGAGUAAUUCAUCAAAUAUUUUAUCACACUUACCAACAUUAAACGUAAAUUUAACCUCCUCUUGACGUUUCUUUUGAACCGGCUGCAAGGAGGAACAAGCCGAAGAUUUGGCCUGUUUUGGCCAAACCAUUUCAGCAGCAUAUACUUCGGCUGAUUCGUCAUCUGAGCUACUUUGGUCGCAUUCUACUAUAUGUACGUUGUGACGCAUUGUUUUAGCAGUUUCUUUGCUCCGGCUUUCGCAAGCCAAAGCCCUCUGGUGUAACUGUGCUAGUGUAAAAAAUUGGAUGCCUUCUAAUCUCUCUUUUAAAUAAUAUCGUAGACCAUUAAAGGCUAAUCCUACUAGCUGUUUUUCUGCUAAAUGAAUUUGAAAGCAUCGGUUUCUUGUAUCGCGGAAUCUCCGGAUGUAAUCAUUAACCGAUUCGUCUUUUGUCUGUCGCAAUGACACUAAAUCUACCAAAUCCAAUUCAUAAUCACCGGAGAAAAAAUGAUCAUGAAAUUUUUGUUCUAGAUCCCCCCAUGAUGAAAUGGAAUUAGGAGGUAAAGUGGCAUACCAUGCAAACGCGGUUCCUGUUAGCGAUAAUGAAAAUAAACGUACGCGAAAUGCCUCUGUGUCGGCCAAUUCUCCCAAUUGUGCUAAGAACUGGCCUAUAUGUUCACGUGUGUUUUUCCCUUGAUCACCCGAAAAUUUUGCGAAUUCGGGUAUCCUGGUUCCCUGUGGGUAUGGGUGGUGAUCAAAUCGGCUGUCAUAAGGUUUCCGAUAUGAUUGCCCCCCAGGGACCAUGCUUACUCCGAGCUUAUCUCGGAACGCCCCGGCUAUUUCUUCCCUUACUAUAUCAAUGGCAGCCGGUGCGAGACCACCGGCUCUCUGGUCAAACAUAGGUGGGGUUGGCUGGACAUUAGCAUGUUGUCUUUCCCCCCAUUGGUUUGAGUUACGUGGUGCAUUUUCAUUUGCCCUAUAUGGGUCAUAGGUUUGAUCGUUCCUUUCCGGCCUUCUAGGUGGGGCCGGAAAGCUUUCCUGGGCUUUGGAUCCUGAAUUAAUGGGCUGGUGUAUCGCAUAGUGUGAUGGGAAGUGUUGCUGGGACGGGCGAGGAUUCAUGUAAUAAUCCUCCUCAAAAGACUCAUGCGCGGACUGCCCGGAUACGUACCCGGACCAUCCGUGGUUAUAUGUGGACCGUCCGUCGUUGUAUGCGGACCAUCCGAAUGGGUAGUUUGGGUUCUGUGUCGUGUGUGGUGGCUCGGGCGCAUAUCUAGGUAACUCAUUAAAAAUAGGCCCGACUGUUGCUGGCCCGGACGGUCCGCGCUCACGUGCGGACGGUCCGGGCAUGUGCAGAUCGGCUGGUUUGCUGCCGAUUUGCGGUUGCUUAGGGUAUGUGUCCAUCGGCAUCCCAUAAAGGGGUUGUGACUGGUCGUGACAACCUGUAGCCGAUGUGUUACACGCGUUAUCUCCUAACUCAACCUCGUGCGAAGGAAAAUUUGCGGUACUAGAUUUAUCAAAUGCACGUACUAGUCUCUUAAGAUCGCGUUGCAUACCCCCUAUGAUGUUCUGCAUUUGUUCACGCUGAUCUUCUACAUAAUUUCUAAGAGAUUGCAGAUCGUUGGUAUUACUUACAUUGGGGAUAUCUGGCGUGGGUUGGAGCGAAGCCGGAUCCGUCGCCCGAUGUCGGACGACCUUGUUGUUCCUGUCCACUUUGAAGUUGGCCAAGAACUUUGCUUUCGCCUCCUGGAUCAUCCGCUCCUUGUGCUCCUCAAACUGGAGCUACUCGUCAGCCGGCAAGGUUUCCCAAGUCGGCUCUAUGAUGUUGCUUGGAGAAAUAUCAGAGCUAUCCCUUGAACCGGCCAUUGAGGGUCGAUUUGAUAAGCCUAGAUAUGUUUUCCCCAGCGGAGUCGCCAAAAAGUAUGUUGGCGCCUUUUCGGAGCGCCAAAUACUCAAGAAGAACCGGCGGCGGUGCUCUCUGCACAGGGGCGGACGGUCCGCGCGCGGGGCCGGACGGUCCGCGGCCUGGUGCGAGGCGCGGUGGUACUCUCUGCGCAGGGGCGGACUGUCCGCGGCCUGGGGCCGGACGGUCCGCGGCCUGGUGCGCGGCUAGGGCUUCUCUGCCUGACGGUCGGACGGUCCGCGCGUACGCAGAGGCGGCGAAAGUCGCCGGCGGCGCCUGGAUCUCGCUCCCGGGAGGGACCCCGUUGGGGAGGAGAGAUCCUAGGUGGUGUCUAGGCUCGGGCCGGCCGACCUAGACUCCUCUAAUCGACGUAGAGCCGAAGAGAGACGAAGAAUUUGGGGAUUGGGAGGCUAAACCUAAACUAGACUAGAACUACUCCUAGGGUAAAAUGCGAAUAAAAGUUGUAUUGAUUCGAUUGUUGAUGAUUACAAAUCGGCCGUAGACCUCUCUAUUUAUAGAGGAGGGGGGCUGGACCCUUUACACAACUGAUUCCGAGCUAAUCCCGCGAUUUUAGCCAACAACCGUAGCACAAAACUCGGAACCCUAAUCUGCUCUGCGCACGCGCGGACAGUCCGGCCCACAGGCGCGGACCGUCCGGACCGCGGACCGUCCGGCCUCAGGGCCGGACAGUCCGCCGGCUCAUUUCUGGUUCGAACAUACAUAUAUCGAGAUAGAGAAGCAGGACAUGCAAGAAUGUUUCAAGAUUACUUAGCCGACAAUCCCACAUAUGGUCCAUCUUUAUUUCGACGAAGGUUUUGUUUUAUGAAAUAAUAGACUAAUUUGAAUAGCAUGUGCAGUACAUUGUAUAUUGAUAUCUUUUUAUUUUGCCAUUGUAGGUUUAGGAUGAAUCGAUGCCUAUUAUUAAGUAUAAAGAAUGUUGUGGAAGCUCAUGAUGAUUAUUAUAAACUAUUAAGAAAUGCAGCCAAUCAAGUUGGACUAAGUUGCUUUCAAAAGGUUACUGCAGCUUUUCAUAUGCUAACUUAUGGAGUACCAGCAGAUGCUACAGAUGUGUAUGUCCGCAUUGGAGAAAGUAAUGCUAUAGAAAGCCUGAGAAAGUUUAUUGAAGCUAUUACUGAAGUUUUUGGAGAAGAGUACUUGAGGUCACCCACUGAGAGCGAUACAACUCGUUUACUGGCUCUUGGGGAAGAAAGAUGUUUUCUGAGUAUGCUUGGUUCACUAGAUUGUAUGCAUUGGAGGUGGAAGAAUUGUCAUUCGGCGUUGCAAGGUAUGUAUUCAGGCCAUUUUUAUAAACCUACAAUAAUUAUAGAAGUUGUUGCUUCAAACGAUCUAUGGAUUUGGCAUGCAUUUUUUGGUUUACCUAGCUCUUUCAAUGACAUCAACGUUCUUCAUCGAUCGCCACUAUUCUCAAAGCUAGCAAAUGGAGAAGCUCCUAAAGUGAACUACAACAUAAAUGGCCAUGAUUAUACAAUGGGAUACUACCUUGCAGACAUGAUAUAUCCAUCUUGGGCUACAUUGGUAAAAACCAUACCAGAGCCACGAGGAAAUAAUAGAAAAUACUUUGCCAAAGCACAAUAAGCAGUACAGAAGGAUGCGGAACGAGCUUUUGGAGUUCUACGGUCACGUUUUGCCAUUGUGCGUGGCCCAGCUCGUUUUUGGGAUGAUGAGACACUAGCAUACAUUAUGAAAGCAUGUAUUAUCAUGCAUAAUAUGAUUAUUGAAGAUGAGGGAAUAGUGGAUCCCGACGAACGAUUUGACAAUGGUGGAGAUAAUGUGGAGACCUCUCACGAGCAUAUAACAGAUUUUGAUGAAUUUAUUGAGAACCACAUAACUAUUAGGAACAAUGAAACUCACCAUCAACUUCGAGAAGACCUAGUGGAGCACUUGUGGCAACAUCACUCAGAUCAAUAUAAUUAGUGUCAUGUUUGCUCACCAAUUCUUGUCAUUUUACCAUUCAAUUGUUACCGAUUUGUGUAUUCAAUGAGUUCUUAUGUGAAAAUUGAAAAAACAUGCAGCAUUGACAUGUUUCGACGCACGGGAACAAAUAAAUAGUUUCAAGCUAGACAUGUGGUAGCUGGUACCUACGCUCUAUGGCUGCAUGCCAGUUUCACCCAACAACAAAUAUAUAGUUGACACCUCACCAACAAUAAUACCAUCACACAUAAUACUGGUUUUUUAUUCUCAUGGACUAAGUGUAAAAUAUCCAACAAUAAUAGUGUAAUGAGUAGUGCGUUCAUGACAAACACACAUUAGCCAACAAUAUAAUUCAACUAAUGAAAAUACUAAGGAAAUGCAAUAUUUUAAAUUCAACCAGAGUUGCUAAUGCGACGAGCCAUGAUUUCAGCUUGUAGGCUCAUGUAGUAUUGCUUUUGCAUCUCAGCCAUGCAACUAUGCAACUUAUAUCUAUGUUCAUAAUUCUCUCUUCUUCAGCAAUUCUCCGUCUGUGGAGCCUCUCUUGUUCAUUUAUUUCCUUUGUUUCUUCAAUUGCAAGCCUCUUCUGUUCCAACUGAAGCCUCUCUUGAUCUAGAGCAAAUGUCUUGGCAUACCACUCCUCUUUCUUUUGUUGCUUCUCCGCAUCAGCCUCACUCUUCUUUGCCCACAAAAUGUCUAAAGCUUGUAUGCAUGCAUCACUCCCGCCUCGUUGUAUAGCUUCUUUUGUCAUCUUCUUACCCAUUGGUCUUUUUGGUGCAUCUAGAUUUGUAGGAAUGGUAUCUCUAGGGCUAUCACCAACAUUUACAUCCUAAGGGCUACCACCAACAUUUAAAUCUCGAGGGCUACCUAUUGGAAUAGCAAACCCUAACCCUAACAGGGGUUGGGUGGUGUAUUAAUAGACUUGAGUACUGGGCCAGGCCCAUUACAGAGGGGCGAGACAGUAAUUACAUAGGGAACAACCCCAAACCCUAAACGAGUAUUCUAACACCCCCUAGCAGUCACAACUCUAUCAUGUACAGAUGUUGAGACUGGAGCGAAAGUCUAAAAAUACACUCGACGGUAACCCCUUGGUGAAGAUGUCAGCGAAUUGCAGCGUGGUGGGGACGCUGAGAACCCGAACGUCACCGGCAGCGACACGCUCGCGGACGAAGUGCAGGUCAAUCUCCACGUGCUUCGUGCGCUGAUGCUGCACGGGAUUGGUGGAGAGGUAUACCGCGCUGACGUUGUCACAGUAGACGAGGGUGGCGCGCUGAAGGGGAAUGUGGAGCUCGUGGAGGAGUUGUCGUAGCCAGGAGGCCUCUGCCACGCCGUUGGCCACGGCGUGGUACUCGGCCUCAGCGCUGGAGCGAGAGACGACGGGCUGCCGUUUGGCGGCCCAAGAGACGAGGUUGGCACCCAGGAACACGGCGUAACCGGAGGUGGACCGGCGCGUGUCGGGACAGCCAGCCCAGUCAGCAUCGGUGUAGACCACAAGCUCCAACGUCGGGGAUGGUCGGAGUAGGAGGCCGUAAUCGAGGGAGCCGCGGAGGUAGCGCAGAAUCCGCUUGAGCGCGGUGAGAUGGGGCUCCCGCGGAGUGUGCAUAUGCAGGCACACCUGCUGGACGGCGUAAGCGAUGUCGGGCCUGGAGAAGGUGAGGUACUGGAGUGCACCGGUCAGGCUUCGGUAAGACGUCGCGUCGGCGACCGGAGGCCCGUCGUCCUCAGAGAGCUUCGCCUGGGUGUCGACAGGCGUGGAGCAGGACUUGCAGUCAGACAUGCCAGCCCGCUCCAGGAUGUCGAUGGCGUACUGGCGCUGGUGGAGGAAGAGACCCUGAGGCCGGCGCUCGGCGGUGAUGCCGAGCAAGUGGUGAAGGGGCCCCAGGUCCUUCAUGGCGAAUUCCCGCUGAAGGGCGACGAUCGUGCGGUGAAGAAGGUCGGCGGUGGAUGCCGUGAGCACAAUGUCGUCGACGUAGAGCAGGAGGUAGACGGUGUCGUCGCCGCGCCGAUAGAUGAACAGGGACGUGUCCGACUUGGCCUCGACGAAGCCGAUGGAGGCCAGGUAGGAGGCGAAGCGACUGUACCAUGCCCGUGGCGCCUGCUUGAGGCCGUACAGGGACCGGUUCAGCCGGCAGACCAGAUCCGGACGGUCAGCGUCGACAAAGCCGGUGGGCUGGCUGCAGUAGACAGUCUCCGUUAGAGUGCCAUGGAGGAAGGCAUUCUUGACGUCGAGCUGGUGGAUCGCCCAGUCGCGGGAGAGGGCGAGGGAGAGGACGGCGCGAACAGUGGUGAACUUGACGACGGGGCUGAAGGUCUCAUCGUAGUCCACUCCGGGGCGCUGGGUGAAGCCCCGAAGGACCCAACGGGCCUUAUAGCAGUCGAGGGAGCCGUCCGAGGUCAGCUUGUGGCGAAAUAGCCACUUGCCGGUGACCACGUUGGUGCCUGGUGGACGCGGCACCAGGUCCCAGGUGUGGUUGGCCAAGAGGGCCGCGUACUCCUCCUCCAUAGCACGACGCCAAUGUGGGUCGGCGAGGGCAGCGCGAACGGAGGAGGGCACAGGGGAUGCGUCCGGAGGAGUGCAGGUCGUAUCCGCUGCCAGGAUCAGCCGGUCGACGGGGCGAAGAACGCCAGCGGCGCGCCGAGUCACCAUCGGGUGGACGUGCCCAGGGUCGCGGUGGAUGGCGACCGGGUGGUACACUGACAACUCGGAGCGGGCUGCCGGAACGUCGGGAGCGGCGGGUAUGGCCGGCUCGCGGCGGUGAUAGACGACGGCGGGGUCGGCAAAGCGGGCCGUGCUCGUCGACGGGCCCGAGUCGGCAGGCGCCGAGGUGGCGGCGUGGCUGCGACGGUGGUAGACGAGCGCGGGGUCGGCAAAGCGAGUCGGGGUCGACGGGGCUGCGCGUGGCGCAGGCGGGGUCGUCGGGGCCGCGCGUGGCGCAGGCGUGAUCGACGGGGCCGUGUGUGGCGCAGGCGGGGUCGUCGGGGCCGUGCGUGGCGCAGGCGUGGUCGACGGGGCCGCGCGUGGCGUAGGCGUGAUCGACGGGGCCGCGCGUGGCGCGGGAAUGGGCGCGAGGCGGGGCGCCGGGGGUGGGGGGGGGGAACCGGAUCAGACUUGAGGAGUGAGUCUAGAUCGGUGGGUGGGGUGGAGCCUGCAAGGGGAAACACAUCUUCGUCGAAGACGACGUGACGAGAGAUGAUGAUGCGGUGGGAGGUGAGGUCCAGGCACCGAUACCCCUUGUGGUCAGGGGAGUAGCCGAGGAAGAGACAGCGAGUGGAGCGAGGAGAAAGCUUGUUAGGGGCGGUAGCGGAAGUGUUAGGGUAGCAGGCACAGCCGAACACGCGUAGGUGGUCGUAGGAAGGGGUUGUGCCGUACAGGGCGAAGUGAGGUGUAGGGUGGCUCACCGCCUUCGAGGGAAGACGGUUGAGGAGAUGUGUGGCGGUAUGAAGGGCCUCUGCCCAGUAGGUGGCAGGGAGAGACGCCUGAAAGAGAAGGCAGCGGAUCAUGUUGGUGGUGGUGCGAAUCAUGCGCUCGGCCCGGCUGUUCUGAGCAGAGGUGUAGGGACACGAGAGACGCAACUGGACGCCGUGAGUGAGGAAGAAAGAGCGGGAGGCGUUGUUGUCGAACUCGCGGCCAUUGUCGCACUGCAGGGCACGGACCGGGCGCCAGAACUGGGUGGAUACCCAGGCGAAAAAGUGAGUGAGGGUGGUAAACGUGUCGGACUUCAGCCGAAGGGGGAAAGUCCAAAGGAAAUGGGAGUAGUCAUCGAGAAUGACCAGGUAGUAUUUGUAGCCGGAGAGGCUAAGGACAGGAGAUGUCCAGAGAUCACAGUGGACAAGAUCAAAGGCCUGGACAGCCCUGGAUGUGGAAGUAGAAAAAGGAAGACGGGAGUGGCGGCCGAGCUGACAAGCAUGACAGAGGCGCUCAGAAGAGCCCCGAGUAUAUGAUAUGUCGGAGUGGCCGGAAAGCUGGGACAUGACGUCAGGUCCAGGGUGCCCGAGGCGACGGUGCCAAAUGGCGGAGGAGGUGGUGGUAGUAGCAAGAGCAUGUGAAGUGGUGGUAGUAGUAAGUACAGGAGAUGAGGCUACUCUGGUGUGGGGAGUGGAGGGCAAGUGAAGAGAAUAGAGGGGGCCGGAGCUGUCACAGCGAGCGAGCACAGCAUGUGUGGGAAGGUGGCGUAUGGUGAGGCCCCAGGGGUCGAACUCCAUAGAGCACUGGUUGUCACUAGUGAAGCGACGAACCGAGAGGAGGGGAUGAGUUAGUCCGGGAGCAACAAGGACGUCAUUAAGGCAGAAUGGUCCUGGAAGAGCCGAUGUACCUACUGAGGUGACCGGGAGGGUGGAACCGUUGCCGACGACGAUGGAGGUAGGAUGUGAGGGGUGGGGUGGAUGGGAGUGGAGUAACGAAGUAGUGGUGGGGGUAGUGUGGAAGGAGGCCCCAGAGUCAACCACCCAAUCGGUGGUGGUCCGGGGAGGUGGAAGUGGCGAAGGUACGUUGUGAGCGGAGAGGGCCAAAGAAGGUGCCCCGACAGAGGCACUAGGAAGGGAGGGAGAUGACACGGGCUCAACCGCUAGGGAGGCGAUCGCAGCAUGUGGGAAGACAAGCGGUCCAGGCACGUGACGGCCCGCCUGAGGGUGGACCUCGACGCAGUCCCGAAGAAUAGGGUUCCAGACGGGAUCGAAGGACACGAACAUGCCCCGGAUGAGCUGGCCGUCGUGGAGGAGGACACGCACCGUCACGAGAGCGGCGGGCGAGGUAAAGCUCAUGGCGACCGGUGCAGGUCGGCGCAGGGAGGCGCGGACUGGACAGCCGGGCGCGGAACAGCAGAGGCGGCUGAGUGCUCGGCGUCGGGCGUCCACGGCACGGGACAGCAGGGGCGCAGUGGGGAAGAACCGGCGUCCGGAGGUGGCCGGUGGCUGGUAGGGGAAGGGGAGCUCGCGUGGGACGCCACUCCCCUGGCCGGAUCUCGCCCUGCUCGCCCCUGUUCGGACGCCCAGGCCUCUGUGCGGCUGGUGGAGGGAGCCUCGGCCGUCGGCGGGGGUAGGGGCGGCUGCGUCCUGGUCCGGUAAGGCGAGGGGCGGCGUCGGGGCGCCGGAUCGGCAGGCGGUGCGGCGGCCUGGGCCGGUCGCGGACGCCUGGGCAGGAGCGGUGGCGCGCCUGGGUGCGGACCGCUGCUCGAUCGCGGGCCGCUGGGCGUCGGGCCGUAUGAGCAGGGGCGGGUGCACGGGGGCUCUGGCGGUGGCCGGCCUGGUGUAGACGGGCGCGCCGUCGGGGUCGCGGGCUGACGCGACGCGGCGGCUCCUGGGCGCGGAUGCGGCUGCCCUGGCGGCGCUUGGCGGUGGAGAAGGAGAGAGGAGAGGAGGAGCCGGCGACUGGAGAGGUGGAGGCUGGAAAAAAAACCUAGUCUGAUACCAUAUUGGAAUAGCAAACCCUAACCCUAACAGGGGUUGGGUGGUGUAUUAAUAGACUUGAGUACUGGGCCAGGCCCAUUACAGAGGGACGAGACAGUAAUUACAUAGGGAACAACCCCAAACCCUAAACGGGUAUUCUAACACUACCGUCAACUUCUACAUCUCGAGUUGCCUUCUAUUUUUUGUUACUUGUUUUCAGAUAUGCUAAUUGGUUCAACCUCUCAUGCCACUUAGGUUGGUUCCUCAAUUGCAGCCAAUUGUACCUAAAUUGGGAUGACUUCUUAUUGGCAUCUUGACUCUUAAACAACUUCUCAGCUUGCUCCGCCUAUAAAAAGACGGAAUUGGGAUAAAUUUCUAAAGAACGACAACUAAAGGUUUUAUGGGUUCAAAGAGAGAGUAGAUACAUACCCUAUCAUAAGUAGUUGCCCUGCUCUCAUUUUUUGUCUCAAUAUGAUCUAGACACCCACAAAACUUGCUCACAACUUCUUGAAUAGUUCCCCAUCGAUGUACCAAUGAGCUCUGACUGCAUUCUGCUAACGAUUCUAUGUUAUUCUCAUAGAAAGUGUAUACUCUUCUCCAAAAUUCAUCCUUAGUUUGGUUAGUUUCUUGUAUAGCAUCUAUACUAACAUUCAACCAAGCUACAGAUAGAAGUUUGUCUUCGUCUUCAUUAAAGUUUUUCCCUUUAUGCUUCUACUUUGGCUUUGAUGAGGGUGCAUUAUCCAUUAAGGGUGACCGUUGAGAUAUGUCUGGUAUAGUGCCCAGGUUUUCUAAAGCAGCAGGAUAAUCACCAUCAUUCAACAAGGACAUGUAAAAACCAUUAACUUCCAUUCGUACAAAUACCUAGAAAUAGAAAAAAAAUCAGUUGCAUAUGAUGCUCUAUAAUUUGGACAAUAUAGCAGACAACAUUCUAUAAAUUCAUAUAUGGAGGAUGUGAUUAUGUGAACAAUAUUCUCAAUACAGGGGAAAAUAUUAAUUGGCACAUUAUACAAAUGUGUGUUUGUACUUGCAGGUACCAUAAUUCGUAUAGCUGUGUUUGUACUUGCAGGUACCAUCUAGUCAGGGUUCGUUGUGUUCUAAGAAAAAAGGUCGGGCUUGAUUAUUAAUUAAUUGUUUACCAAUGAAAGGAAUCUUUUGGAACAGCAAUGGGUUCAAGGAUUUGAAAAAACUUAGAUACAUUUCGGAUCUGACCAAAGAACAUGGUCUCAAUUUUAUUGCCCUCUCUGAAACAGGCCGCAAAUCCUUCCCAGAUCAUCUACUAAGGAAUUUGUGUGCUGGGAAAAAUUUUAUCUGGCAUUGCAAAGAACCUCAUGGUAGAUCUGGGGGGAUGUUGUUAGGAAUUGACGCUGAUGUCUUUGAUGUUGGUGCCAUCACGGAGGGGGAUUUCUUUAUUAAGUUUAAUUUGCUUGAUAAAGCAGAUGGUUUUAAAUGGGCUCUUGUCUCGGUGUAUGGCCCUGCCCAGGACUGCUUCAAACAAGAAUUCCUUUCUGAGCUAGUCCGUGUGAGCAAUACAGAAACUUUACCUAUUCUCAUUGGGGGAGACUUUAAUAUUUUACGAUCUCCAUCUGAGAAAAAUAAUGAUAGAUUUGAUCAUCGUUGGCCGUUCCUUUUCAAUGCGGUAAUUGAUGGUCUUGAUCUAAGAGAAUUGCAGAUGUCGGGGCGAAGGUACACCUGGGCUAAUACUAGGGAUAUUCCGACUUAUGAGAAGUUGGAUCGGAUUUUGGUAGCUACAGAAUGGGAGGGAAAAUACCCUAGAGCUUCGGUACAUGCCUUGUCGAGAAAUAUAUCCGAUCAUACUCCUCUGCUUCUUAGCACAGGUGUUGUAACCGCCCAUACAAUUCCUCCGUUCAAGUUAGAACUAGGCUGGUUUCUGAGGGAUGGUUUUGUGGAUAUGGUAAAAGAUAUUUGGGUAAAUGAGACAAGUGGUUCUACUCCUUUGGAGAAUUGGCAAGCCAGGAUUAGGAAGGUGCGCCAACACUUAAGGGGUUGGGCAAUGCACACUUCGGGGUUGUUGAAAAAGGAAAAAAAGGAGAUCAUAGCUAAGCUUGAUGAUUUAGAUAAGAGAGCUGAAGUAGUUCUGUUGAGUACUUCGGAGUUGGAUCUGCGCAACUACUUACAGAACAGGCUUGCUCAGCUACUCCGGGAGGAGGAAAUAAAGUGGUAUCAAAGAGCGAAGGUCAAGGAGCUCCUGGAGGGGGAUAGUAAUACUAAAUAUUUUCAGAUGAUAGCCAAUGGAAAAUUCAGGAAGAAUCGCAUCUUCCAGAUGACGGAUGGAGCUCGUAUGUUAUACGACGAGAAAGAAUUAAAGAGUCAUAUAACUGGUUAUUAUAAAAAUCUCUUUGGCCCCCAGAAAACACGUCUUUUAGUCUGGAUGAGGAUCUUAGAGAUGAUAUAAUACAAGUUACUCAAGUUGAGAACGAGAAGCUCACCCAGCCAUUUUCUGAAGAUGAAGUAAAAGCGGUGGUUUUUAGUAUGGAACAUAACAAGGCUCCAGGUCCUGAUGGAUUCCCGGCGGAAUUUUAUCAAAUCUGUUGGGAUGUUAUUAAAGAUGAUCUUAUGGCUUUGUUUCGUGAGUUCCACUCAGGAAAUCUCCCUUUGUAUAGUCUUAACUUUGGGACUAUCAUUUUGCUUCCUAAGACUCGGGAGGCAAUCUCGGUUCAACAAUACCGACCAAUUUGUCUCCUAAAUGUCAGUUUCAAAAUCUUCACAAAGGUGGCGACUAAGAGGAUCACGGAGGUUGCGCAGAAUGUAAUCAGUCCCCUGCAGACUGCGUUCCUGCCAGGAAGAAAUAUCAUGGAGGGGUGGUGGUCUUACAUGAGACUAUUCAUGAGCUACAUACGAAGAAAAGGGAUGGGGUCAUUUUCAAAAUCGACUUCGAGAAAGCUUAUGAUAAGGUGAAGUGGAGCUUUGUUCAACAAUCCCUUCGUAUGAAAGGUUUUUCAAGUACCUGGUGUAGGUGGAUCGAGUCUUUCAUGAAGGGGGGCCAUGUUGCGGUUAGAGUUAAUGAUCACAUGGGUCCUUUUUUCCAGACCCAUAGAGGGGUGAGGCAGGGCGAUCCGCUGUCUCCUAUUCUCUUUAACUUGGUAGUGGACAUGCUUGCUACCCUAAUUAAUAGAGCAAAGGAAAAUGGCCAGAUCAAGGGCUUGGUGCCGCAUUUGGUAGAUGGGGGGCUAUCCAUUCUGCAAUACGCCGAUGAUACAAUUUUGUUUAUGGAUCACGAUCUGGAAAAGGCAACGAAUAUGAAGCUCAUAUUAUGUGCCUUUGAGCAGUUAUCUGGUCUUAAAAUAAACUUUCACAAGAGUGAGAUAUUCUGUUAUGGGAAGGCAAAAGAGGAUGAAGGGAGGUACACACGGCUGUUUGGUUGCAGUUCUGGUGGGCUGCCCUUCAGAUAUCUUGGGAUUCCUAUGCACCACCGUCGAUUGACAAUUGGUGAGUGGAAAACAGUGGAGGCCAAAUUCGAGAAAAAGCUCAGCAGCUGGAAAGGAAAACUUAUGUCAGUAGGAGGGCGGCUCGUAUUAAUUAAUUCUGUGUUGACCAGUCUAGCGAUGUUUAUGAUGUCUUUCUUUGAGGUACCAAAAGGUGUGCUGGAGAAGAUAGAUUAUUUCAGAUCGCGUUUUUUCUGGCAAGGGGAGGGUCAUAAGAAAAAAUAUAGGCUGGCCAAAUGGGAUGUAAUUUGUCAACCUAAGGAGGUUGGCGGGCUAGGCAUUUUGAAUUUAGAGGUUCAAAAUAAAUGCCUCUUAAGCAAAUGGUUGUAUAAACUUCUCAAUGAAGAAGGGAUGUGGCAAUCAUUAUUGAGACGUAAAUAUCUGGCCAAUCGAACCUUAUCCCAGGCGUAGCGUAGGGCCACUGAUUCACACUUCUGGAGUGGUCUUAUGAAAGUUAAGGACACAUUCAUUAGUAAAGGAACCUUUGUGAUUCAUGAUGGGUCCCAGGUGCGUUUCUGGGAGGAUGAUUGGCUCGGGUCGGGAACGUUAAAACUUCGUUUUCCGUCUCUUUAUAACCUAGCGAGGAGGAAGAACUCUACUGUUGCCUGUGUGUUCUCCACGGUGCCCUUAAAUAUAUCCUUUCGGAGGGGUUUGGCUCAACAAUUGAGGGACCAAUGGGUUCAAUUGGUCUCACUUGUUGCGCAUACCGAUUUGAAUUCAAACAGGGACUUGUUCAGAUGGAACUUGACCGCCAACGAGAUGUUUACGGUUAAGUCUCUGUAUCUGGCAUCUCUUAACAAUGGGUUGGGGGUGCAUAAUAAAGACCUUUGGAAACUUAGGCUUCCUCUGAAAAUUAAGAUUUUUAUGUGGUACCUCAAAAGAGGGGUAACAUUAACAAAGGAUAACUUGGCUAGGAGGCAUUGGAAUGGGAAUAAGAUAUGUUGCUUUUGUAGUAGACCGGAGACAAUAAAGCACCUAUUUUUCAGUUGUUUGUAUGCGUCAUUCAUUUGGCGGUUGAUUCAGAUAAGCACGGGGUUGAGACCUCCUCGGGAUGUUAAUGAUUUGUUUGGGGUUUGGGCGAGCGGGAGGCUUCCCAGAGUUCGAAACUUACUAUUAACCGUUGCAUCGGCAAUUUGUUGGGCUAUUUGGUUAAGUAGAAAUGAUGUGGUGUUCAAUAAUUCAUCUCCUAAAUCAUGUGUGCAGGUAACCUUCAGGGCAACAUAUUGGUGCCGCUUCUGGUCUCAGCUUCAGCCUAGAAGGGAGGACCAAGAGUUAAUAAAGUCUUCAUGUCGUAAUGUGGAGAGGGUGCUACUACAGUUCUUUAGCAAUUUUGGAUGGGGGUCUGCGUUGCGUUUAAAUAUGUAGUAGCUGUGGUUCGAUAGCUGAAGUUCUUUAAUUUGGCUAGUUGGGGUUCUCUGAAGUGGUCAUAGGAGGAGUUUUGGCAAUAUGCUUCCGUCCCUUGUAAUAAAUGGCCGUAACCUCAUUUAAGGCCAAGGUCGGAUGAUUUUUCCAUUAUCUAAAAAAAAAUAAACAUAUGCAAAAGUACAAUAUUGGCUCAAUUCAGAGUAUAAAAUCAGGAUACCUAACAACAAAGAAAUCACUUCGAUAGCAUAUACUAGCUGAUAUAGUAGUUAUCUGCAUUCUAUAACCAUAAAAACACUUGUCUCCAUCUAUCUAUCCAUAACGUGACCAAUCAAGUUAAUGGAAAAAAUUCCUAGAAACAUCCAACCACAAAUACGAAUUUCAGAGAAACGUGUAAAGAUUAGUUAAUGGAAAAAUACUACACACAUGCAUCCCCGGAGUAGGGCAUCUACGAAUUUCAGAGAGAGACCGAAGCAACUAGGGAUGGAGAGAGCAGGUGACCUGAUGAUUACCUUGGAGAAGGCACGGAAAAUUCUUUUGGCUGGUACCGCGAGGAGACGAGAUACUCGACCAGAUCUACUUGGGCAGCGAGGAGAUGGGUUCCUCUCCCAAAAUUUUGUUGCCAGAGAGUGCUUGUGGUAGUGACAUGAAGGCACGCGGAUCAGUUGCGGUCUAGUGUGGUGCGCGGAAUGCGGUCGAUUUGGUGGGAAAAACGACGCGAGACAGCAAAAUUUACGCGCCAAUUCUCAGGUUGGGAAUGCGGAAGAGGAGAGCAAGUUUGGGGAGAAGAAACGAUGGUUUUGGAUAUGCGUAAUUAUCAGAAUUAAUUUAGAAAACAGUUGGAUCGUAGUUUUUCUUAAAGAUAUCCUAAAUUAAAGUUUAGGGGAUGCUUUUAGAUAAGUUAGAGAUGCUCUUAUGACAUAACUAUAGAAGUAUAGAGACCAGAAAUAUGUAUGUUGAGAGUUUAAGAACCAAGACAUACAAUUUUACAUAUUUAGGGACUUUGGAGGUAUACUUUGGAAGUUUAGAGACGGGAUAAUAUAACACUAUAAGUUUAGAGACCGCCAGAGUAUUUUACUUUUUUUUAAAUAUCAUAUACUUCAAAGAAAGUGCAAUGUCUCUCUCUGAAAUUUCGACAAACACAGAUAUUAAAGUGAAAAAAUGACCGAAAAUUACAAUCUGCCCCAUCCGGCCGUCCGUCAUCCAACUUCGCCCCACUCUUCUCGGACCUCCACCUGCGGCGGCGGUAGAGGUCACGUAGCCCUCGUCGCUCGUCGGAGCGUCUUGGAUCCUUCCUUGACCCUACUCAUCUCAGGUUCGUCUCUUUCCAAUUCCGGGUUCCUAAUCUACACUGUACAAGCUCUGCAGUAUUUUCCUUUGACGAAUUUGUUGGCCAACGAACUCACGGUCUCUCUCCCCUUUUCCCUGCGUCCAGAUUCCGGCCAGAUGGAAGGCGGCGAGGGAUCCGGAUUCGAUGGGGCACACAUGAAGAAGCGGCGGAGCAGCGCGGUGAGGCGGCCGAGGCCGGAGGGCGGCCCUGCCGCGGUGCAGCGGGACAACGGCUCCCCUCCGCCGCUGUCGGUGACAUCCAGGAGCGCCCCGAGGAGUCUGCUGUUGACUUCGGACGAGAACGCCACCGGCCCCGACGGGGGCAACCGUAGGCGUGAGUUCCUCCUGAACGCUCCGUCGCCGGAGCGCGCGACCAAGGGGAGCAUCCGGCUGCGUUCCGAGGCCGCAGCCGGUGGCUCCAGGAAGAGCGACGGUAGCAGCCAUGCCCCUGAGGGGAACCGUGAGAAGCUGGGGAAGGUGAAGCUCAAGAUUCGUAAUGUGCUACCGAAACCGAACCCUGAUACGUCGCCUGUGAAGCCCCCACGGCCUGUAGAUUCGCGGCACCAGCAAAAGCAUGGCCAUCUGGUGAGUGCUUUGAGCUAUGUUUUCAUCCUGUAUUGUGGUUGGGUUUGCACCAAUUCUGGUUAUGGGAUAAGAUUACCCAACCCACCUUUUGAAAUCAAAUGGAAAACUAGCUGGGUUGCUAACACAGAGACGAACUUGCUGAGAUUUUUCUCAACGUUCUUGAUUUAGCAUGAAUAUGUGUCCUUUGCAAACAUCUUCUUUUGUUUACUUCAUGAUAUGCUAUACACAAUUGACAACUGAUUCGAAAGGAUGAACUGCUUGUAGAAGGAAGGCACAAAAGAUUCUGACAGGCCAACCUCUUCACGAGACAAGAAAGCCAGAAAGGAGAGGUCGAUUCAAGAAACAAUGGCACAUGUGCAAGCAGACAAAUUUCAGAGAGAACCUACUUCAGAUCCUGUACGGAAGAGUAGGAGGCUUGCUAAGAAAUCUGUGGACAAUGAAUUUGACGAGGACUUUGGUACAAGCAAUCUUGGAACUCCUGAAGAUUGGGAUGGUACUCGUGAGUCUAAGAGCAAAGGAAGUGGCUCUAAGAAGAGUGCCUCAAGGAAAGGGAAAAAUAGGAGCAAGGUGUAUGGGGCUGAUAACGAUUUUGUUACUUCCCGAUCUGGCAAGAAAAGAUCUAGAGAAUCAGCUGAUGAUGAUAAUACUGAAGAAGAACCAACCUCAGACAGUGAACCUGACGUUGAAGACACUGAACAGAAAACAACGGCGACUGAAUCACCUGUCAAUAUUAGAAGUGAACCUCUCACGACACGUCGCCGCGCCCUUCAAUCAUGGAUGGAUGGCAGCAGCAUCAGUACUGUCGAGUUCCCUGAUGGGCUACCUCCAGCUCCUUCGAGAAGUCCGCACUAUCUUUGCUCUUCAUUUUGUGCAGUUCAAUUUGAUUAAAACAUCAAACUCUUUGUUCUCCUGCUAAAUGUGUUGAAACAUAUUUCUGUUGGACCAGGCAAGAAGGACAAGCUUUCUGAAGAGGAAAUGCUUGCGAAGAAGGCUGAAGCUGCUCAGAGGCGCAGGAUGCAAGUGGAAAAGGCCACUAAAGAAAGUGAGGUAGGAGAGAAAUCUUUUCUCGCGUUUUCGAUCAGUAUUUGGCAUGUUUCGGUUUCCAGGAGUCAGUUUCAGCUAUGUUUUGAUCUCUGCAGGCGGAAGCUAUAAGGAAAAUAUUGGGCAUUGACUCUGAGAAGAAGAAAGAAGAGAGGAAGCAGAAGGAGCGAGGAGAGAAGGUUCGAUGCAUCAUUUGGUCUUUGCUAUGUGGUGCCCAUUGGUGUUCCAUUAAUACCAGCAGUAUCCCCUUGCUGAACAAAUCAUUUUUCUUGAUACAGGAGCGAGCUAGCAGAGCACAAAACAUGGCGGCAAACUCGAUCCGCUGGGUCAUGGGGCCCACCGGAACAGUUAUUUCGUUUCCACACGCAGUAGGCCUCCCCAGCAUCUUCGACUCCAAGCCACACAGGUGACCCUCACAUCCUUUGCAUGCUUUGCUUGUCCCCCAUAAUCGUGCUGAAGCCAUGACUUCAUCUACCACCUUUUUUUUUGUUCUUUGCGAGCAGCUAUCCUCCUCCACGGGAGAAAUGCGCUGGGCCAUCGUGCACGAACGAUUACAAGUACAGGCACUCCAAGCUGAACCUCCCCCUCUGCAGCCUCAAGUGCUACAAGGCCGUCCAAGGAAAUGCUUGAUAGGGCUCAGGGAACAUAAUGGUGGGGACUGGGGAGUUUGUGCUGUCUCCAUUGGCAUGCCAUCUAUGGCUGGAAAUAAGGCAUGAAGAUGAUGUGCAUCUAUGGUGGGAGUUCUAAAGGAUGCAAUGCAAUAAGGGUCUGCCUGCAAAUGUAUAGAAAUGGAUAUCUAUCUACAUGUAGAUUUGUGGGGUAGAGAUGUAGAAGAUCUUUUUGCUGAACCUGUGAUUAAAGAUGCCGGAUGUUAUUGCUAUCCCACAAUACGCAUCCUGUUUUUAGUUCUUUUGAGAGAAAAAGGUGUUUUUGUUGUAGAUACUGCACGUACGUUUCAUAUGUAUAAUAAAGAGCAGAAUAAGUUUUUGUAACCUGUUUGUUCAUCCGUUCAUAGAGCUCAAGGUUGGAAAGGGAAGCCAAACCAGAAGUGAAGUGCAUGUUCAAACGUAAAACAAAAAAAAAA